CGCGGCACGUUAAUAUCUCUAUGUAAACCCGACGUGUGGGCCUUUCUUCCGUAUUUCCUGAUAACCCCCUGCAGAAAUAGACAAACACCAAAACUCGUGGAAUUCUGUCAGAUAAAACCUAAGUCUAGGUGUUGGUUGCAUUUGGAUACUUUUCUAUGAUUAGUUGACGGUUAAAUGUGAGCCUUAAGGACCAUCAACAAGCUCCCCCAAGCUUAACCUUUGCUCGUCCCUGAGCAAAGAUGAACUCAAGAGUUUCUGCAGUGAUUUCAUACUUUAAAGGUACACAUGCGUUCAAACAAGAUCUCAUCUCUGGGUUAGGGUAAACUUUUAAGAUUUAAACUCACUCAUAUUACCUUCCACCAUGGGGCUUGCAACCGUCACCUGUGUCUUGAGCAGUUAAAAGAUAGAACGGUCUAGUCAAGAACCAUGUCUCUUAUUCUUGAUCAGCUAUAGCUCUGGAGUUUUUGCAGAUUUUCAAAUAAAACUCAGAGAUUCCUUGUAUGACUCUCUCUAGUCUCUCUUUUGUAGUAUUUCUGGAUCCUUACCAAGGCAGUAUUUGUAUAUGCCUUCUCUCAAAGUAUGUGGUAUUUGUGGUAUAAGGCAUAGUGGCAUUGCCUUCUCUCUCACCCUACUCUAAUAAGGCUUUUGAUAUCUGGAGCUCAUAGGUGGGAGACAGCUAAUACAUACUUACAAGACAUUUAUUGCAUAGUCAAACCAUGCAUCCAGAGAAACAAGUCAAUAAGUCAAAUCAAGAUGUGCAUGUGUGGCGAAUGAAUGAUGCAUGGUAAUGAUGGUGAUAACAAUGGUGAAAGUCUAAUUCUACUUUUGCUAUUUUGAGGGGAUACAUACCUUGCUCUUUUGAAACUUUUGGGGAGAAUGCGAUGCUCUGUAUUUUCUUUUUCUUUCCUCUCAGGUGCGUAUCUUGUACCCCUAAUUCUACUGUCGGACACUUGUCCAUUUUUACCUCUCGUCUCACUUUUUUUUCUUUUCUUUCGAGGUUCCGGGCACUUGCCUCUUUUUAUUUCCUCGUAUUUUUUUUCUCUCUCUUCUUCUCUUUUUUAGAGCACUCAUCUCUUGAAAUAAUAUAGCAAGUGGUAGUAACAAGAUAACUUGAGCAUUUAUUUCACAGGGGAAAAAUAGAAAUAUUUUUGGCUAUUCUCUCCCAGAUUAGGAGUAGAAUAUUUUUGGAUGGUUCUGGAGAUGGAAAUGGGUGGAUAUAUGUGGAUGCGUACUUCUGGAGUAGAAACAGCAUGUAUGAGUGAACGUGCAAGUGAAUCUUGACUUAACCACAUGACAAGCUCCUAAGGGUCUACACAGCUUGACCACACUCAAUGCUCAUAAGCAGUAAAAAGUAAAUGUGUGACUCAAAGUCUAGCAAGCAUGUAUAUAUGGCUGUGGUAGGAAUUUAAACUGUCAUCAUAUAGGAACUCAUCAUGUGAUAUUUUAAAGAUUUUCAAAGAUAAAAUUCUCCAGAAUUCUAGCAUCUCUAGGAACUUUUAAAUAGUAGCUCAACCUUCCCAUAUCAUAUCCGUUAACGACGUAGACUUUAGAUCAAGUACUCUCCCCACAAGUUCAGGUUUAGAGCAAAUCUUAAUUAAUACCAGUCAUGCCUAAACUUAAGAGAGAUUUCAAUUUUUAGAACUAAUCAUGGCAGAGCAACUAUUCAUCAUUUCCAUGUGAGAGCUUAUCAUGAGAGUUCAUAGCAAACUUUAUUUAUUUAUUUAUUUAGCAAGCUAAGCAAAGAUAUAUAUAUAAGCACAAAAUCUUUAAUUGGGUUUUUAUGAUUAUGCAUCUUUUUAUUAUUGGAGUAAACUAUAAACAUGAGAAGAACACUUAGCUGGAUAAAUGGGGGUGCUCUCCCCCAAGCUGGAUUUUGACGUAAUUCCUUUUGAUGUAGCUAGCAAGUGGUGGAGGUGUAUUUGAAUGUCGGCAGCACCCUGACAGCGAUUAGGAUGUCCUCCCUCUGCUAGUCUUCUUUGAUCCUUGAAUUCUGUGGAGCUCAAAUAGACAACAAAGCUUUAUGGAACUAGUUAGUGUUAGCAUAAAUAUCUAGCCUUUAUCAUGUUGAGCCUCCUCAAUAAAUAUUACUUUCUUUGGUAGGAUCAUAAAUUUAUUUUUAUAUUUUCAUUUCUAUAGGACAGGAAUAUAUUUAUUUUAUUUUUACGCCACCACAGUGAAUGUACUUAUGGGUUUUAUGCCAUGAGCAUACUCACAUGGGGCUUACUAUUUUUAACAUUUUUAUUUUCUUUUCAAGAUGAUAUGAACCUGAUUAACUAAGCAAACUAUUUUAAAAUAAUUGAAAGGAAAAAGAUAACUACCAAGUUUACCUCUUGGCAAGGCGUUCGGUGUUUUUAAGUCCUCCAAAUGGGACUCUUCGUUUUCUCAGUCGUCCUGGGAUUCGUUGGAUGGCGAAGUCGGUGGUUCCGGCGGCGCCUGCUCUUCGUGUAUAACUAUCUUCUCUCUACAUACCUGACUCGGUGCUAUGGUCUCCUCAGGACAGUUCUGCUCAAGUUGUAUGUCUUCAGACCUUACCACUUCUCCUUCGUAGUCUGCUCAUCCGUCCUUGAUGAUUUUCCUCCUCUGGUUACGGUUGUGUCGUCUUCUUCUUGUCCUGACCUGCUUAGAGUCUUCAACUAUAUAGUUAAGGUUAAUAAAAUAGCGGCGUACCUUCUCAGAGAGGAAGUGCAUGUGGACUUCUCCGAUUCCAAUGUAGAUGAUUGCUUUAACGGAGCUGAGGAACAGUCUCCCAAUGGUGAUGGGUGGAUCGUACUCGUCUUCUCCCAUGUCAAUAACCUUUCAGAAUGUCUGAUGUGUCAUCUGGAGCGGAAUGUAUGUCGGUUUAGGGGCAUGGUUCCGAAUAGGAGUUGAUAGGUGACUGCGGCCAUUACGUUGACGUUAGAUCCGGUGUCGUAGAGUGUCUUCUGAAAAGAAUAUCCAUUGAUUAUUGUGCACUCGAUGCUUGGAACACCACGGUCGUCCUUCUUGGUCAGGAACGGUGACUUGAGUUGACGAUCUUGACCUCGUUGAGCUACAGUGACCAUCUUAGCUGACUCAGUCCACAUUUGCUUGUUCCUGCUCCCCCUGUUGAUCCUCUUCCUUGGUUCAUGUCGGGAUUGCUCUGAGAUUUGUGUAGUCUUGUUCUUGAAGGAAAAUGUCUCCUUCCUCCCCUUGAUGUAGAAAAUAAUCUUGGCAGCACUAGCGUAGAUGACAGCUCCUGAGGUGUUGAGGAAUGGCCUCCCUAGGAUGGGUGCCCUCUCAUCAGUACCAGUCUCUAUCACCACGAAGUCUGCUGGGGCGUACAAGGUACCAACUCGAACGCAGAGGUUCUUCAAAAUUCUCUUUGGGAAACCUAGCGUACGAUCUGCAAGCUGCAAACACAUGGCUGUUUCUAACAAAGGAUGUGUAAAGAAUUUUUCAUAGAGUACCCUGGGCAUAAUGUUGACGUUGGAGCCAAAGUCGCAGAGUGCUUCUAGGAAGUCCACCAUGCCGAUGGAGAUCGGGAUAACGGGGCAUCCUCGAUUGUCUCUCUUGACUGGCAGAUGGUCAGUAAUUACUUCCACAACAAGGUUACUCCCGUAGUUACGUCCUCAAGCAUCUCAGGGCAGUGAUGGCCUGAGUGUCCAGUAUCUCCAGUGUGUUUGUGCUCGUAGAUCUAGGUUCUUCACUUGGUGUAGUCUGGGAGUUGUAAAAGUCCUUCAUAUUUUGCUGGAAGUGUACCUGCUGAUAGAGACAAGGCAGAGAUCAAGUGCAUGGGCCCUGUUGGUGGAGAACACCAACAGAACCAAAAAUGUAUUUAUUCUUUUUUUCUCUAACCUUAAGCAUAGUGAGCAAGAUGAAGUUAAUGGACAAUAAGAUCAUGAGUGUAGCAUUUAAAACAUUUGUCAGAUCAAAUGCUCAACCUAAUGGAAAGAUAACCUAUCUAUACUUAUGUGUUUUCUCUUUUUUUAUAUAUAUAUCUUCCAAAGACUGAGUAUGCAACACUUUAUCACAUAUGAUUAGGAGUGUGGGAUCACAAAGGUGGAAGGACUAAACGUAUUGAAUCGAUUGGGUUGGUUAAUCUAGAGUUGUAAAUCAUACAUGUUUGUCUCUUUUAUUCAUGUGAACGCUAGAACCAAGGAGAAGCUUUAUAGAAGUGAUAGUCAAGUACCUUAAGAUGUUACCUUACUUGAAGAGUGAUGGUAUAAUAUCACCUUGUGAAAGCUUUCCUUUCUUAUCAGUUGUGCAUCGUGUUUGUGGCACAUUCCAUGGAUCAUCACUUGUGAGCUGUGCCUUCCUUGUGUAAAUUGUUAAACUUCAUGUGCCUCUCUCUUUGUAUCCAAUGUGAGUUUAUCUCAGGACUACCCAGGUCGAUAUUGAAAGUUUUCCUGCAGGGUUUAGUCCAACAAAAUAUCCAAUAUCUACUAUAGCAUACUAUCGGUUCAAAAUGAACCUAGACACCAUGUCUAAUUUGAUUUAGGAGGGCAUUUUGACCUAAGCACCAUGCCUAAUUUAAACUCCGUUGGAAGUAAGAUCAUCAUUCCUAAACUAAGCACCAUGCUUAAUUAAGAGGUAAAUGAAACUACUCCAAGCCUAGACAUAUACUAAAGCAAAUAAAGGAGGUAUGAGAGCAUUUAUAGAGAUCUACUCAAGUGGAGAUGAAGUAGUGUGAUUAGUAUUUAACAAAUUGAGCAUGUCUCAAAGGUAGGGACAACCAACAUAGCAACAUGGCAAAGGAUGUUUUUAUGUAAAGUACUCCCCCAAGCUUGAAUUUUGCAAACUUCAAGUUUGGAUGAAUUUAAUUCAAUGUUGUAUGAUGAUUGGACAUACCUUGUGUUUGUCAUUCAUGUGAUCUUCUUGCUCCAAUCCUGGAAAGGUUAGUGACAAGAAUACCUGAAGGAAUUUUUUUUUACAAUUAUCCUUAUAUGCUCAACUCACAAGGUAAUGUGGCAAAUAAUUAAAAGCUCAUGUUAUGAUCUAAUCAGUGCUUGUUUUAGGACACUAAGCUUGUCCUUGGGAAACCAUCAAUUUAUGUCGGCGAAGUGGUUUCCCCUCCAACGCUGACCUAUAUCAAGAUCAACUCAACGAGAUCUGCAAUAUUUAAUAUAGACAUAUGCAUCGACAACCGCCCUUUUAAAGUUUUUAUAAAUAGAAAGGAUGAGGGGGUUGGAGAUCUCGAAUGUGGUGAUGUUGGAAAAACCAAUGGAUUGGGAAGAUGUUGCAUAUGAGCAUGGAGUAAAUGAAGUGGCUAUGAAAUAAAUUCCAUGCUCAUUAAUGCUUAGAGUGAAAUCCAUGUGGUGUGGUGAAAAUGGUAAGAUGAGUGUGGUAAAAAAAAGGGAAAAGAAAAAAGGAUACACGGACGACUUGGUUCGAAACUAGCACAGCUACCGUUCCCCGGCAACGGCGCCAGAAAGCUUGUUGGGUAUUUUAAACGCAAAUAGAAAAAUCCGCAAACGCACGGAUACCGAUGUAGCCUUCACCCGGGAGUAUUCCAGAGUAUCGAUUUUCCACAGAGAACAUGAGUGUACUAAUUAAGAUCCAAGAUCGCCCAAGAAUAACUAUAUAAUUAUUUUUGGUGGGAAGAGAGGAAGUUUCUUGAGAGUUCUCUAGUUGAUCUAAGAAUCAAGAAUUACUUCAAAGAUUAUUUAUAUCGGGACAUCAGAGCACUAACCACAGAAAGAGAUGAGAAGGGGGCUAGGAAGGUCUGACUACGGUCCUACAAACACCGAUCCGAACGAGGUGGAAUACGUCGACCGUUAGGGCUGUCACUACCCUAAGGCUACCACAACAAUCCGCAGGAUUGGGUGCAAUUCCAGGUAAUUGCAAGACUAAACACCACGUCUAAUCUAUUAAUUACUACUCUAGCGUUAUAAAGACUAGAGCACUUGAUGCAAGCGGGAAUCCAAUAAAUAACAUGAAUGUAAAUAAAAGUAAUUAAAGAACUCAGGAAUUAUGAAUUGAAGAACCUGGAGAACGAUGAAGAACGAACCAUUUGCUGCAAAAGUACAAUGUUGAGGAAGAUCCGACAGAUCCGGCUCCUCCUCCGCUCUCUUCUUCUCUCUCCCUAUUUUCUAGAUUACAACUAGAACUAACUAGAACUAGAACUAGAGGAACUAGAACUAGAACUAGAUGAACUAGAACUAGAUCUAGAUGAACUAGAGGUAGAACUAGAAGAACUAGAGGGAUCCUCUCUACUUGGAUGAAGAAUUGAAACCCUAACUUUGAUUCUAUAGAAGAGGUAUGAUCUCCACGGGCCAGGGGGUCUUGUUUCAUAGUCCCUUCAAGUGAAUCUGGGCCGUUGGAUCAAACCGACAUUAAUCGCACGGUUUUCAUUGGUCCCUUAGGUCGGUGGAACACGAUCCGCGAAGUUGAAGCUGAUUGGUUACUAUAGCUGGGCGGGCACCCAAGGGGGGAGGGCGGGCGCCCUGCCCCCGGGCCCGAUCGGCCUCCCGUUCGUUUCCGUGGCUUCUAGAGUCUUCUAGAUGGUAGAAAAUUGCGGCACGUUAAUUUCUCUAUGUAAACCCGACGUGUGCGCCUUUCUUCCGUAUUUCCUGAUAACCCCCUGCAGAAAUAGACAAACACCAAAACUCGUGGAAUUCUGUCAGAUAAAACCCUAAGUCUAGUUGUUGGUUGCAUUUGGAUCCUUUUCUAUGAUUAGUUGACGGUUAAAUGUGAGCUUUAAGGACCGUCAACAACGCUCCCGAUGGAACUCCUAGAUGACAUGUGUCAUAUGAAAUCUGGCUUCGAUCUGUUUGGAGACAGUGUUAGUUUCGGUGCAAAAUAGGUGCACAGUUUGCAUCUAAUGCACCAUAGUCCAAGAAACCAUUUUGGAUGCACCUAUUGGUACUCCAAGGUGAAGAGGCUCAAGAUGGAAGCUUGGUUUGGUCUGUUUAGAGAUAGUGCUAAACUUGAUGCAAGAUAGGUGCACGGUGUGCAUGGAACGUAUCAUAUGCUCGGAAAUCAAUUUGGACGCACCCGAUGGAACUCCUAAAUGACAUGUGUCAUAUGAACUAUCGCUUUGGUCACUUUGGAGAUAGUGUUAGUUUCAGUGCAAGAUAGCUGCACGGUUUGCGCCUAAUGCACUAUAGUCUAAGAAACCAUUUUGGACGCACCUGUUGGUACUCCAAGAUGAAGAGGCCCAAGUGGAAGCUCAGUUCGAUCUGUUUAGAGAUAGUGCUAAUCUUGAUCCAAGAUAGGAUGCACGGUUUGCAUGGAACGUACUAUAUGCUUGGAAAUUAAUUUGAACGCACCUGUGGGUACUCCAAGAUGAAGAGGCUCAAGUGGAAGCUCGGUUUGGUCGGUUUGGAGAUGUGCUAAUCAUGGUGCAAGAUAGGUGCAUAGUUUGCUUGGAACGUACCAUAGGCUCAGAAAUCAAUUUGAACGCACUCGAUGGAACUUCUAUAUGACAUGUGUCAUAUGGAAUCUCGCUUCGGUCCAUUUGGAGAUAGUGUUAGUUUCGGUGCAAGAUAGGUGCACGGUUUGUUCCUAACACACCAUAGGCUAAGAAACCAUUUUGGACACAGCUAAUGGUACUCCUAGGUGAAGGGGUUCAAAUGGAAGCUCAGUUUGGUCUAUUUGUAGAUAUUGCUAAUCUUGAUGCAAGAUAGGUGCAUUGUUUGCAUGGAACGUACCACAUGCUUUGAAAUCAAUUUGGACUCACCCGAUGGAACUCCUAGAUGACGUGUGUCAUAUGGAAUCUCACAUCGGUCUGUCUGGAGAGAUUGUUAGUUUUGGUGCAAGAUAUGCGCACGGUUUGUGCUAAUGCACCAUAGGCUAAGAAACCACUUUGGACGCACCCGAUGUUACUCAUAGGUCAAGAGGCUCAAGUGGAAGCUCGGUUUGGUCUGUUUGGAGAUCGUGCUAGUCCUGAUCCAAGAUAGGAUGCACAGAUUGCAUGGAAUGUACCAUAUGCUUAGAAAUCAUUUUGGACGCACCCGAUGGAACUCCUAGAUGAUGUGUGUCAUAUGAAAUCUCGCUUCGGUCUGUUUGGAGUUAGUGUUAGUUUUGGUGCAAGAUAGGUGCACCGUUUGUGCCUAAUGCACCAUUGGCUAAGAAACCAUUUUGGAUGCAUCUAUUGGUACUCCAAGGUGAAGAGGCUCAAGUGGAAGCUUGGUUCGAUCUAUUUAGAGAUAAUGCUAAACAUGAUGCAAGAUAGGUGCACGGUUUGCAUGGAACGUUUCAUAUGCUCCGAAAUCAAUUUGGACACACGCGAUGGAACUCCUAGAUGACAUGUGUCAUAUGGAAUCUCGCUUUGGUCUAUUUGGAGAUAGUGUUAGUUUUAGUGCACGAUAGGUACCCAGUUUGCGCCUAAAGCACUAUAGUCUAAGAAACUAUUUUGGACGCACCUGUUGGUACUCCAAGGUGAAGAGGCUCAUGUGGAAGCUCAGUUCGAUCUAUUUAGAUAUAGUGCUAAUCUUGAUCCAAGAUAGGAUGCACAGUUUGCAUGGAUCGUACCAUAUGCUCGAAAAUCAAUUUGGACGCACCCGAUGGAACUCCUAGAUGAUGUGUGUCAUAUGAAAUAUGGCUUCGCUUUGUUUGGCGAUAGUGUUAGUUUCAAUGCACGAUAGGUGCACGGUUUGUGCCUAAUGCACCAUCGGCUAAGAAACUAUUUUGGACGCACCUGAUGGUACUCCUAGGUUAAAGGGCUCAAGUGUAAGCAUGGUUUUGUCUGUUCGGAGAUAGUGCUAAUCUUGAUGAAAGAUAGGUGCACAUUCUGUGUGGAACAUACCAUAUGCUCGAAAAUUAAUUUGGACAUACUCGAUGGAACUCCUAGAUGACGUGUGUGUUGGUGUUUUUCCCCCGGGGGGUCACACCAACGAGUAAAUUUGUAUGCGUGCUCCCUUUCCCGGAUGGUGAUGCAAGAAGACACAGAGAUUUAUCCUGGUUCGGGCAAGAGAAGGCCCUACGUCCAGCGGGGGGAGAGAGUUUGUAUUAUCUUGCACCUAAGUGCUUGUACAGGGGCGAAUACAAGCGUGGUAUGAAGUGUGGAGCUCUACUACGUAUGAGCGUGGUCUUGUGUCGUGAUCUGCUGUUCUAUUCCUGAGUCCCUCCUUUUAUAGUUCCAAGGAAGGGCCUAGGGUACAUGUAUAGGCGUAGGAAUUGGAGUCGAUAGCAGCAUGGAUCGCUGACCUACUCGAGGUUUCCGUACCGGCAUGCCCUCGAGCCGUCCCGUCUUAAUAGCCUGGUGAUGAUCACGCGUGCCCCUGCAUUCUGCUCUGCGCGCCGUCUUGGAUUGGUUCGGUGGGUGCACGCUUAUAUGCCUCGGCGGCAAAUCCGGCGGAGCGGUUACGGCGUGGUCAGUCAACGCCCGACUCGUCUCCAGGAAGGAGCCUGGUGAAGUCGAGGGUCGGACGCCGUACGAGGUGUCGAUAUCUGGAGCGCUGACCUUGGGUGUCUCGAGGGGAUCCCGAUUAGACGUUCCAUCCUUGUUUCCCGCGUCCUGACACGCCCUGGUUCGUUCGGUGGGAAGGCUGCAAAAAGAACGAUGGGACAGAAGCCUCCCGUGACCCGUGUGUUAGGUGGGGAAGCGUCAGGUGCAUUAAAUGCCCUGGCUCUCGUGCGCGCGUCAGGCGGCGGACAGUGUCCUUGCGCUCGACGCCUCUCGGUUCGCUCGAGCCCGCUUCCGUAUUCGACGGCAGUUGUCGCUCGAGCCCUGACCGAUUCGCUCGACGCUAUUUCCGUCUUCGAGGCUGCGGCCGUCGAUGGCCGCGCGUGUGUACGGAUGGUCUCGUUAUACGCAUUGGUGAGGGUACCCCUCGUUGAUACCCUCGACAGUAGCCCCCGAGUCUUCAUUCGAGCGCUGGCGCUCGAGUGGAGACUUUCGUUUUUACGGUCGAGCUUCCACGGGGGCGCGCGAGCGACCCCGCGGGGGUAGCCCCCGAGCCCUCGAGGGAGUAUUUAACUCCUUCGAGGGUUAUUUUGCCAAAUUUGCAGAAACGCUGUCAACACCCGUGGUGGAAGGUUCUGUUCGGCUUUGCCUUGCGUGGAGGUUUCGACGUACUCUCGAUAGAGCGAGCGUCUUCCACCCCUGAUUGAGUUCCUAGCGGGUAGUCCAAGUGAGAACCUGUGCCCCUUUCGAGGGGGUCAGCUAUAGCCCGGAGGUGUCCUCAUAAAGCAGGGUCGACGUGGUCGGGGAUACCGGUCUCAUUCGAUAGAGUCCAGCGGCUCGAUGCCUCCCUUCGGGGGGAUUCCUCUCGACUUUCUCGACCCCACCUUGGACAUCGCCAGCGAGUCCUCGAGGCGGGCCUCGAUUUUCAACCACUCGCUGGGGAUCCCUGAAUCUUGGUGCUCGAGAUCGGCUGUCGAACCCUUUCGACGGGCCAGCCAUCGACCUCUCGAGACUAUCGUGGGCGCAUACCUUGGCUUACGAAGUAAGGAAGCUGCCGUGCCGGUUCGUCUUUCUGCCCGUUGGGCGCACCUUUUGAGGUAAGUGACGUUGCGACACUAUAUCGGCGGGGAAUUCGGAGCGUCCGGCCUGUGAGGAGAGAAAGGACGAUUAGGUGGCGCAUUUCUCGGAUCUGUCCGUUGGCGGACUGCUGCCUAUAAAUACGUCGUGGCGUCGCCGCCGUUCCUCUCCCUUCCGCCUUCUCGGUUUUAUUCUCUCGUUGCCUUUGCUUUCUCGCCGUCUCACGCGCACACGCCUCCUCGAGCUGUAGUGAAUCCACCGUCCCUCCAGCCGAGAUGCCUGUAAGACUCGUCGCCGCCGACGACUGGCGCCUGUCGUCGAUGACGGAGCGCCGGUUGUUAGAGCUUGAGAAAGAGGGACUGCUGCGCCGCCGUACCUCGCUAUCGUCGCCAGAGUGGAUCGCGCCGCCGGCGAGUCACAGGGGGCCUCAGCCGCACGAGGGCUACGUGGUGUCGUUCGCCAAGUUCCACCACCACGGUCUGGGCGCGCCCCCGAGCCGCUUCAUGCGGGCCCUCUGCUUCCAUUAUGGGGUGGAGCUCCAGAACUUCUCUCCGAACGCCAUCACCGUAGCGGCGGUCUUCGCCGCCGUGUGUGAGGGCUACUUGGGGAUGAUGCCGCACUGGGAGCUGUGGCUCCACCUCUACAGGGGCGAGCUUUUCCAUGCCCCCACCAGAACCACGGGCGUAAGGAAGCCCGUGCGGGCGGGAUGCCUCAAUCUGGUGCAGAAGACGGGCAAGACGGACAGGCCGCGGGAGUACAUCCCGGUAGGGUUAUCGACCAACCACGCCGGCUGGGACUCCCAGUGGUUUUACCUGCGGAACGAUGACAACCUCCUGCCUUCCUACACGGGCCGUCUGAUCAUGUAGCGUCCAGCGGACUGGACAUACGGCGUCGUCCAAGCUCAUCAAUCUCGGCUCGACCCCCUCCUCGACGCCCUGAAGAAGCUUCGCCAGGAGGGUUUGACCGCCGCUCUCGUCCUCUCGGCCGCCCAUCACCGGAGAGUUCUCCCUUUGAUGUCUCGACCGUUGAGGAUGGACGAGAUGGGCCCUGGCGUCUCAUCUCGGGACCUCGAGGCGUGUCGGAUGUCCAACGAGGCUCCGGCGGACGACGAAGUCGCGGCCCGAGUCAGGGCUGCAAUUGCCGGUGAUUUUCAGCCGGAGCACGUUAACGGCUUCCCCAUGAGACCAGACGCAGGCUCGAUCGAUCUGGUACGCUUUCUUCUUGCGCGCAGCCUCGAUUCUAGGUUUCCUUUCUCCCGUCUCUUUUUUCUAAGUCUACCUUUGUUUUGGCAGGGUCGGAUUGAUGUCCGGUCCUCGAGGCCUCCGGUAAAGGAGGACGAGGUCGAUCGUAACAAACGGCGCCAAUCUGCCGAAAAGCUAAAGUCUACCAAGGACUCUGCAAAGAAGGGGGAGAAGAAGAAGAACCUCGACCGCCAAGCAUUAGAGGCGCGUCGAGCCAAAUCCAGGCAGAGGGGGGAGCCUGAGGAAGAAUCCCCUAACGAUGAUGACGAUGACGACGAGGACAGCGACGACUCUGAGGGGAUGGCGUCGCGCCUCGAUUGGAUUCUCGAGGGCCCGCCUCGAGGUGACGUCGAUGCCCCCCGGACGGAGGCGCCAGAGGAGAGUCCGAGCGGAUCACGUCGCCCCCGGGCCGACACCCCUCCCGCGCCCAAGGCGGGCCAGGACGCACCGCGCCCUCUCCCGGUGCCCAGGGAGAGCGGUCUGGCUAGGCCCCAGGCGUCGGGGCCACUAACUCGUGGUCGCGCCGCGGCCUCUGAGAAAGGAGAUGCCGGCCGUAGGAGCGCCAGUCCCGGCGCCCGCCAGGCGGGGACCGACGCGCCUAGGCCAGUGCCUGCCCUCGAGGGGCCUGGAGCCCUGACGCGGGGUGGCUUGAGGCCCACUGGUCGGGGUGGCAGGAGGCGAGCCGUUCUCCCUGUGGGGUAAGCCUUUUUGAUGUCGCGGUUUUUGUCUUCCCAUUCUUCCACCUUUCCUCAUAUGCCAACCUUUUCUCAGGCUAAAGCGGACCCUUGAGCAGGCCCAACCAUCCAUGGCAAAGAGGCUCAAAACGGGUGCCGCCUCCAAGGAACCAGGUUCGUAGUUUAUUUCUGGGCGUUGCGAUGUUCUUGUGUCGGUUAUCAUAACGUCUGACCCUUACCCUUUGUUUCGUAGGCUCCUCCAGCUCCCAACCUCCAGCCGGCGUCGAGAGGGCUCCGUCUCGUCCCGCGCCUACUCCGUCGCCGCCGACUCGUGAUGAGGCGCCCCAGACGCAAGCGUCAGAGGGAGCCCCCGAGCCCCCUCGAUUGGGGGUCGAGGGGGAACCCAUCACCAUCAGCGAUACGUCCGAUGGUAACGAAGCGUCUAGGGGCGCUCGCCCUAUGGAGGAGGAAGCGUCGACCCCCAACGUCGCGGGAUCAACUCCCUGGCCCGCCGGCCUCCGCACCCUCGAGGAGCAGAAAAAGAAGAGGGAGGAGGAUGAACAGCGGGAGCGCGAGGCGGCGCGGCAGCCAGAGGAGCAUGAGGCACAGCAACAGCAGCAACAACAACAGCGGCAGCAGCAACAGCAACAACCGCAGCAGCAACCGCAGCAGCAGCAGCAACAACCACCGCAGCAGCAACAGCAGCAGCAGCAGGCGGGCCAAGAGGAGGGACCGCUCGAGCCUCCGCCCCAAGGUUCGGCCCAGCCAGUGCCACCGGAGCCGCAAGAGCUCGGCGAGGAGGAGGACCUGCCGGUGUACGGCCCCCCAACCCCGGCGUGGCUCCUCCCGGGGGCACCUGCCGCGAUCCGGGCAGAGCCGGGGCGAGCGGAUGGAGUGGUGGCGCUCGCCUGCCUGAAGCGCACGCCCCCCGACCCCGAGUCCGAUAUCAAGAGGACAAUUUACGGCAUGGACGGGAUCGCCCCAGGGUUCCUCCGGGAACGUCGGGCGUGGGAGGACCGCUUUCCUUCCGAGGAGGAUGAAAUUGGGGCAUCAGGGACCAAGGAUGGAACCUGGAAGACGGUGGACGACGACGGAUGGUUCCCAUGCCUCGUCGACCUGUUCCUGCGCCAUGGAGGCUCCCUCGAGACCGUCGAGGGCCUCAUCCGCGGCGUUAAGGCGCGGGCUGACCGGGAGAUGGAGCACUGGUGCCCCGACCGCAUCCGUAUCCGGGCCUCCCACGACCCGUCUGAGCCCGACAUCUUCCUCGACGAUCGGAAGGAGGCGGAGAAGUGGGAACACGUCGAGGAGCUCCGCCUUUGGAUGAAGCAUGUGGUGGGGCUCCUCUCGGACGUUAUCAACAACGGGCUCGGCCCGGCUUAUUUCGUAAGUGUUUCUCGAACUCCAAUCCUCAUGGUGCUUUCUGGUUUCCGUAUUCUAAUCCAUCCGACCCUUGAUUCGCAGGACAUGAAAGAGACCUCCCGCAUCAAGUCCAGCUUCAUACACGCCACGAGGGGCGGUUGGGAGCAGCUCCCCCUCCUCAAGGAUCAACUCCUCGAGUCGCAGGAAAAGCUCCUUAAAGCUUACAAAGAUCUCAUAGCACUCGAGGAGGAGAAGAAGGCGAGGGAGGCUGCCUUGGCUGAGGCCCGAGAGGCCUCGAAGAAGGCGGAGGAGGAGACGAUGCAGCUACGGGAGCGGGCUCUUACGGUCGAGGAGGCCGCGUCCAGAGCCCGGGAGGAGGCCCUGUCCUACAAGAGCGUUAUCGCGGAUCUGGACAAGGAGAAGGGCCUCCUUAAAUCUGACCUGGACUCUCUCCGAGAGUCCUUCCGAAAGAUGAAGGUGGAGCAUGUGAACGGCGAGGUCGCCAGGGGCGCCGCGGAGGAAGCCAAGAAGAAGGCCCUCGAAGAUCUCGAGGCGGAGCGGGCUCGAUCCCGCAGUCUCUCUAACGACGUCGAGCGUCUGAAGGGAGAAUUGCUGGAGAAGAGUGGGGCCAUUGCUCAGGCUGGCAAGGCGAUCGAGGAUCUCCGCGUUGCCAACACCGAGCUGGCACGCUCCAACAAAGAGAUCGAGGGGGCCAACACCAGGCUAGUCGGCGAGAACACGGCCCUCGAGGAGACCGUACGCGGUAUGUUUCCUCUAUCAGAUUUCUUUUUCCAAGGUGUGCUUAGUUUUUCCUAAGGUUUCUUUAUAUUGGCUUUUACAGGGCUCAAGGACGAACUCCUGGCCGCCCAAGCCGAGGCUCGCAACGCCAAGGCUCAGCUCGAGGCGGAGGUUGCUUUGAACCGUCGAGUGCGGACGGCGAUAAGUGAUCUCUCGACCUCUUGGGAGGUCGAGCCUAUGGAUGAGUCGAGGGAGGACGCUCGAGGCGACGCCCUGGUCGACCAGUUGUGCUACAUAGGCGCGACGCUGCGAGAUCGGGUGCGGGACGCCCUCCACAUCGGGGUGAAGCGGGCGAUGGCGGUUGUCUGCUCGGGCUUCUCCUACGACAUGGAGGUGGUGUCCCAUGGCUUCGUCACCGACAUCUCCAAGACCGACGCGGAGAACGAGGAGAGGCUCCAUGCCUUGAUCGACGACGCGGAGGCUCCUGGGGAAAGGUUGGCCAAGCUUUUCGAGCCUGAGGUGCUCCCUCCUGAGGCUAGCUCGGGCGGAGGCGAGGGCGGUGAGGAUCGUGCCGCGGACUGAGGCCUGCGAGCCUGCUCAGGACGCCUGAGGCCCCCUUGUACGAUACUUUGUUAAUUCUGUGGGUAACUGAUGCUGUAUCACUUUCGUAAUUGUUAAAUGCUUAUUUUGUCUUUCUGCUUGAUGCUUUCGUUUCUCUUUGCGCCUACGUUUGUAUCCCUUGCUCGAUUUUUCGUAAAAGACCACCUCGAUCACUUCAAUGGCGAGUAGAGUUUCCGUAGCCCGGGGGCGUAGGAGUUCUCCAACUCGUUGUCCCUCGGCCUUUGAGGGGCUCGAGGCGCCUUAGCUACUUGAACCGUGCAAGGUUUACUACGUAAGAAAAGAAAACUUCUUGAUUUUUUCGAUACUUGGGGGGGGUCGUCCCCCUGGUAGCCCCCGAGGGGGUGCUGACUAUGAUGGGUCAUAGUCGGCGCCCCCUUUUAACGUCGAGAUCGUGACUUAUUAAUCUUCUCGGCACAAAGAAAGAAGAAUUGUUUCGAGGGAAGGACUUUAUUUAUUCAUUCGUUUACAAAGUCUCGGUACAAAACGUAAGCAGGAACAUAAGUUUAGAACUUCUAGGGGUAGAAUCGACGUAGCUGUUCGAUGUUCCAUGCGUUGGUGAGAAUUGCCCCCUUUUCGUCUGCCAGCUUGUACGUUCCCAGCUUUAGGACCUCGGCCACCACGUACGGACCUUCCCAAGGCGGAGUCAGCUUGUGGCGUCCCUGAUUGCUUUGCCGGCGUCGUAGGACUAGGUCGCCCACAUUGAGGUCCCUCUUGCGCACAUGCUUGUCGUGGUAGCGUCGAAGCCUUUGCUGAUAUCUGGCAGAGUUGAGGAGGGCCAUGUCUCUAGCCUCCUCAAGUUGGUCGACCGCGUUUUCUUGAGUCUCUUUGUUCGAUUGCUCGUUGUAGGCCUUGAGUCGAGGUGACCCAUACUCGAGGUCUGUGGGGAGGAUAGCCUCAGAGCCGUAGAUCAUGAAGAACGGGGUGUAUUUUGUGGCCCUGCUUGGUGUUGUCCUAAGGCUCCAUAGGACUGAGGAAAGCUCCUCGACCCAUUUUUUGCCAAAUUUCUUCAAUCGAUUGUAGAUCCUUGGCUUGAGUCCUUGCAAAAUCAUGCCGUUGGCACGCUCGACUUGGCCGUUAGUUCGAGGGUGGGCUACUGCAGACCAGUUCACACGGAUGUGAUGCUGAUCGCAGAAGUCCAAGAACUUUUUGCCGGUGAACUGGGUGCCGUUGUCGGUGAUGAUGACAUUGGGGAUCCCAAACCGAUGGAUGAUGUCGGUGAAGAAAAGGACGGCCUGCUCGGAGCGGAUGUUGGUGAUGGGUCGAGCCUCGAUCCAUUUGGAGAACUUGUCAAUGGCCACCAGCAAAUGGGUGAAUCCUCCUUUCGCCUUUUGUAGAGGUCCUACUAAAUCGAGCCCCCACACCGCAAAAGGCCAGGUAAUGGGGAUCAUCUGAAGAGCGUGGGCAGGCAGAUGCGUCUGCUUGGCGUAGAACUGACACCCGUGACAUGAUCGUACGAGCUUGAUGGCGUCCGCCACGGCCGUUGGCCAGUAGAAGCCUUGUCGAAAAGCGUUCCCUACAAGGGUCCGUCGAGCGGCGUGGUGACCGCAAGCCCCCGAGUGCAGGUCAUCGAGGAGUUUUCAGCCUUCUUCCACGGUGAUGCAAUGUUGUAAGACCCCCGUCGGGCUCCGUCGAUAUAGCUCGUUGUCUUCGCCAUAGAUCACAUAUGAUUUGGCCCGUCGAGCGAUACGACGAGCUUCUGACCUGUCUUCUGGUAACUCGCCGCGGAUAAGGCAGUCGAGGAACGGUGUGCGCCAAUCGAAUGGUCGACUUGGUCGUCGUUCUAUCUCCAUCAUCUCUUCCACCAUCAAGAGCGUAUCGACAGCAUUGGUUGGUUGGGCGGUGGUGGCGUCGACGCCAGCCCCCGUGCCUAGGUCGACGGAUGGCUCGUGAAGAUCUUUUGAGAAUGCAUCAGGCGGCACCGUGCCUCUGGUCGAUGCGAUCUUGGCGAGUUCAUCGGCUGCUUCGUUGUAGCGUCGAGCGAUAUGGACAAGCUCGAGACCGUGGAACCUGUCCUCGAGUCGACGGACCUCCUUGCAGUACGCUUCCAUUUUUGGGUCGUGGCAGCUCGAGGUUUUCAUUACUUGGUCAAUGACGAGUUGGGAGUCACCUCGGACGUCGAGGCGUCGGACUCCUAACUCGAUCGCGAUCUUGAGACCGUUGACGAGGGCCUCAUAUUUUGCGACAUUGUUAGAUGCGGCAAAAUGAAUCCUGAUUACGUACCUCAUGUGGACGCCCAAGGGUGAGAUGAACAGCAGGCCGGCUCCGGCUCUAGUUUUCAUGAGUGACCCAUCGAAAUACAUCGUCCAUAAUUCCGCCUGGACCUGGGUCGGGGGGAGCUGGGUGUCCGUCCAUUCUGCGAUGAAGUCUACCAAGGCCUGCGAUUUGAUGGCCUUGCGAGGCGCAUAAGUGAGAGUCUCACUCAUGAGCUCGACCGACCAUUUUGCUAUUCUUCCCGUGGCUUCUUUGCUCUGGAUUAUUUCGCCUAAAGGAAAAGACGAGACCACCGUGAUGGGGUGGCCAAGGAAGUAAUGCUGCAGCUUGCGACGGGCAAGGAUUAUGACAUAAAUCAGCUUCUGGAUUUGGGGAUAACGUGCUUUGGUCUCCGAAAGCACCUCGCUGACGAAAUAUACUGGCCUCUGAACCGGUAACGCAUGUCCCUCCUCCUGCCUCUCGACCACCACCGCCGCGCUGACGACCUGGGUCGUCGACGCGACGUAGAGGAGCAGCGGCUCUGCAGGUUGAGGUGGAACCAGGACUGGUGCCGAGGUCAGCGUCUUCUUCAGCCUUUCGAGUGCUUCCUCGGCCUCAGGGGUCCAAGAAAAGAGCUCGACCUUCUUUAGGAGUCGAUAUAAUGGUAAUGCCUUUUCUCCUAGUCUCGAGAUGAAACGGCUCAGAGCCGCCAGGCACCCCGUGACUCUCUGUACACCCUUGAUGUCUCGGAUCGGCCCCAUUUUCGUGAUGGCCGAGACUUUCUCGGGGUUGGCCUCGAUGCCGCGCUGCAAAACGAUGUAUCCUAGGAGCAUGCCUCGAGGCACGCCAAAAACGCACUUCUCGGGAUUGAGCUUGAUCCGGCUGGUGCGUACGCAGCUGAAGGCAAUCUCGAGGUCCUGGAUCAGGUCUCCUCGUCGCUUUGACUUGACGACAAUGUCGUCGACGUAGGCUUCGACCGUUGACCCUAUAUGUUCGCCAAAUACGUGGAGCAUGCAACGUUGAUACGUGGCUCCCGCGUUUCGAAGCCCAAAUGGCAUGGUCACGUAGCAAUACAUCCCAAAAGGCGUGAUGAAAGAGGUCGCGAGCUGGUCGGACUCCUUCAUUUUUAUUUGGUGGUAACCAGAAUAUGCAUCAAGGAAAGAAAGGGUUUCACAUCCCGCGGUAGAAUCGACAAUCUGAUCAAUGCGUGGCAAUGGAAAGGGAACUUUUGGACAUGCUUUAUUCAGACUAGUAUAAUCGACACACAUCCUCAUUUUCCCAUUCUUUUUCUUAACUAAUACAGGGUUUGCUAACCAGUAGGAUGAUGAACCUCCUUGAUGAAUCCGGCCGUCAAAAGCUUGUGGACUUCCUCGCCAAUGAUCUUGCGCUUCUCCUCAUCGAGUCGGCGCAACCGCUGCUUCACUGGCUUGGAACCGGCUCGAAUCUCCAAGGAGUGCUCGGCGACUUCCCACGGUAUGCCUGGCAUGUCCGAGGGACUCCAUGCAAACAUAUCAGCAUUUGCACGGAGAAAGUCGACGAGCACGGCUUCCUAUUUGGGGUCGAGGUCGGCGCUGAUCGUCAGCACUUUGCCGUCGGAGUUGUUGGGGUCGAGCGGGAUCUUCUUGGUUCCUUCCGCCGCCUCGAAGCUGCCCGCAUGACGCUUAGGCUCUGGAGCCUCAGCGGCCAUGGCCUCGAGCUUUGCAACGAGCUCGGUGGAGCUCUCGACCGCCUCCCCGUACUCGACGCACUCGACGUCGCACUCGUACGCGUGCUCGAAGGAGGAACUGACAGUGAUGACGCCUUUGGGACCAGGCAUCUUCAGCUUCAAGUAGGUGUAGUUGGGUAUAGCCAUGAACUUGGCGUAGCCCGGGCGCCCGAUGAUGGCGUGGUACGUGCCUCGGAACCCAACCACAUCAAAGGUGAGGGUCUCCUUCCUGAAGUUGGCCGCUGUGCCGAAGCAGACCGGUAGGUCAAUUCGACCUACUGGCAGUGCCUUUUUCCCUGGCACGACGCCAUGGAAACCGCCGGCGCUUGGCUGGAGGCGUCCUCUAUCGAUGCCGAGGAGGUCGAGGGUCUCGAGGUAGAUGAUGUUGAGGCUGCUGCCACCAUCCAUCAGCACUUUCGAGAGUCGGGUGUUGACGAUGAUGGGGUCGACGACGAGCGGGUAGACGCCUGGGGCGACUACCUUGUCGAGGUGGUCCUCUCGGUCGAAAGUGAUAGGAGUGCUUGACCAGCUAAGGUAUUGGGGCACCGCCAUUCUUGCCGCAAAGACUUCGCGACGCUCCCUUUUGCGCUGCCUCAUGGUUAAUUGAGUCGAGGGCCCGCCAUAGAUCAUGUAGCAGUCGUGGACGGCGGGGAAGCCGUCGUCAUCUUUGUUGUCCUCCUUGCUGCCAGCCUUCUCUUUGUUGGAGUCAUCACGCGUAUCUUUUUUGAACCCCAGACCGUCGAAAUGCUUUCUCAGCAUAAGACAGUCCUUGAGCUUGUGGUUGGCGCCUCCCUUAUGGUAAGGGCACGGCUCCUCCAACAUCUUGUCAAAGAUGCCUCCAUCCGGAGGGCCUCGAGGCUUCUUUCGAUCCAUGGCGGCGACAAGGUUGUCAUCGGAAUCUUCCCGGUGGAACUGCCGCACUUUCUGCUUCUUUUUAUUUGUCUUGAGGCCUCGACUGGAGGUCCCAUCUUCGUCGACGGGCUGCUUGCCUUUUCUUCCUUCUGAGCUGAAGAAGGCGCCGACUGCCUCCUCCCCUGCCGCGUAGUUGGCUACUACGUCCAUCAGCUCGUCGACGGUCUGAGGUCGAUUGCGACCUAAUUCCCGCACCAAGUCUCGACUGGUGGUGCCCGAGACAAACGCCAAGAUGACGUCGUGGUGAGGGAUGUGCGGCAGCUCAGUGCGCUGCUUCAAGAAGCGUCGAGCAUACUCCCGAAGAGUUUCUCCCGACUUCUGCUUGCACUUGCUGAGGUCCCACGAGUUCCCUGGCCGUAUGUAGGUCCCUUUGAAGUUACCCUCGAAGACUCUGACCAGAUCAACCCAGUCAUGGAUCUGAUUGGCAGGGAGUUCCUCGAGCCAUCGACGGGCGGUGUCGGAGAGGAAAAGGGGUAGCUGUCUGAUGAUGGCUCGAUCAUCACCUCGAGCGCCACCUAGCUGACAGGCCAGCCUGAAGUCGGCCAGCCACAACUCUGGUUUGGUCUCUCCAUUGUACUUCGCGAUGCUGGUCGGGGGUCGAAAUGGAUUGGGCAGGGGCGUGCUGCGGAUCGCCCUGCUGAACACCCGUGGGCCUAGUGGCUCGGGGGCCACCCGGUCCUCGUCGCUGUCGUAUCUCCCACCGCGAUGCGCGCUAUAACCGCGCUCUUCCGCGUCUCCGUGCCGGCGGCGUCGAUUUUCUUUGAUGUCGUGCCGCGCGUCAUGUCGAUGUUGAUUGUCGACGGGGAGGAUGAGAGCGGUCUUUCUACCUCGAGGGGGAGGUUGUUGAUGGACUGACACCUCCUCUUCGUUUAGAGGCUAUUCGUCGCACUUCUCUGUGGCAGCUCCUCGUCGUCGAGACGCCGAACUUUUGGCUUGUUGAACCGCCGCCACCCGGAGCAAUGUCUGUACCUCAUCUCGAAUGCGUCGGGCCUGGGAAUUCGACGGCUCUGGCAUGUUUCGUAGCAGCAUCGUCGCUGCCACUACAUUCUGGCCUGCUCGAGGGAAACGGCUGACAGGUUGCUCUGGCUCUGCAUCGCCGACGAUCUGUCGAUGUACCUCUCGAGCGCGUCUGCGGACACUUCCGCCCGGCGGGUAGGGCAGGUCUUGCUCGAAGAUUUGCUCGAGCAGGACGAGGCGCUCGCGGUCUUCGUCGAGCUUCAUCUUGAGCUCCCGCAGCUGCGCGAGCUGCGCGGUUCUGUCUUCCUGAGGAGGGGGGUCGACCUGUCCGUCGUUCCCAGGCGUCCUGGGGUCUUCUCGCGCCGCGGGGGCUCGACCACCUGCAGCAGCAUCCCGUGUCUCGUCAGUAGUUUCUACCGCCCCGUCGAUGUGAUAGCAUUCCCUCGUAGGGUCAUAGCUAUCUGUCUCGGAGUCGGAGUCCGGUUCGGCGGCGUAGAAACACCCACGUCCUUCCUCCAGCAAUCGUUGCCUGAGGGAGGUGAUCGAGUAUCGUCCGGGGCCUAGACGACGGAGGCCUUGUACUCGGGAAAGGUCCGGCAGCUCGGACGCCGGCCGCCGCGCUUCAGAGCUACGUGGGAGGACCAUUGGUCUUUCUACGUACGUCUGGGCGUUUGGGCAUAUCGCCUUGGCGAGCGACGCCGCGGCGUUGUCCAAUCCGAACGGCAGUGCCGCUCUUGGAGAGAACAACCCGUGUGGAAGUAGCCUAGCUGCGGUGGGGGAGAGCGCGCGAGACGCGUCCCCUCCCGUCGUUGCGCGGUGCUGAGUCGUCGCGCUUGUUGCUCCGUCACACGGUGCUGCCGACUUGUGGCCUACGUCCUGCCUCGCACGAGUUGUUGGUCGUGCUGAAGCAGAGGGGCCGCGGUGGUGCUGUCCGCGCCUCUUCUUAGGCGGGGAGGCGUGGUGGUGAGGGCGUCUCGGGGCCUUCAACCGUGCUGGCGUAACGUGGGCUCCUCCUGGUCCUUUGACUGAGAGCAAGAUCAUGUCGUAGCCGGAGCCCGUAGACAUGAACUCGAGACUCCCAAACCAAAUCACCGUGGAGCGUGGAAACGGCGAGGCAAGAGUAGCCAUCCGGAAAGGAGUGGGAAAUCGAUGAAAAACACGCAGGACCCCUACCUGGCGCGCCAACUGUCGGUGUUUUUCCCCCGGGGGGUCACACCAACGAGUAAAUUUGUAUGCGUGCUCCCUUUCCCGGAUGGUGAUGCAAGAAGACACAGAGAUUUAUCCUGGUUCGGGCAAGAGAAGGCCCUACGUCCAGCGGGGGGAGAGAGUUUGUAUUAUCUUGCACCUAAGUGCUUGUACAGGGGCGAAUACAAGCGUGGUAUGAAGUGUGGAGCUCUACUACAUAUGAGCGUGGUCUUGUGUCGUGAUCUGCUGUUCUAUUCCUGAGUCCCUCCUUUUAUAGUUCCAAGGAAGGGCCUAGGGUACAUGUAUAGGCGUAGGAAUUGGAGUCGAUAGCAGCAUGGAUCGCUGACCUACUCGAGGUUUCCGUACCGGCAUGCCCUCGAGCCGUCCCGUCUUAAUAGCCUGGUGAUGAUCACGCGUGCCCCUGCAUUCUGCUCUGCGCGCCGUCUUGGAUUGGUUCGGCGGGUGCACGCUUAUAUGGCUCGGCGGCAAAUCCGGCGGAGCGGUUACGGCGUGGUCAGUCGACGCCCGACUCGUCUCCAGGAAGGAGCCUGGUGAAGUCGAGGGUCGGACGCCGUACGAGGUGUCGAUAUCUGGAGCGCUGACCUUGGGUGUCUCGAGGGGAUCCCGAUUAGACGUUCCAUCCUUGUUUCCCGCGUCCUGACACGCCCUGGGUCGUUCGGUGGGAAGGCUGCAAAAAGAACGAUGGGACAGAAGCCUCCCGUGACCCGUGUGUUAGGUGGGGAAGCGUCAGGUGCAUUAAAUGCCCUGGCUCUCGUGCGCGCGUCAGGCGGCGGACAGUGUCCUUGCGCUCGACGCCACUCGGUUCGCUCGAGCCCGCUUCCGUAUUCGACGGCAGUUGUCGCUCGAGCCCUGACCGAUUCGCUCGACGCUAUUUCCGUCUUCGAGGCUGCGGCCGUCGAUGGCCGCGCGUGUGUACGGAUGGUCUCGUUAUACGCAUUGGUGAGGGUACCCCUCGUUGAUACCCUCGACAGUGUGUCAUAUGGAAUCUCGCUUCAGUCCAUUUGAAGAUAGUGCUAGUUCUAGUGCAAGAUAGGUGCACGGUUUGUGCCUAAUGCACCAUAGGCUAAGUAACCAUUUUGAACAAACCUAAUGGUACUCCUAGGUUUAGGGGCUUAAAUGGAAGCUCAGUUUGGUCUAUUUGGAGAUAUUGCUAAUCUUGAUGCAAGAUUGGUGCAUGGUUUGCAUGGAACGUACCAUAUGCUGAGAAAUCAAUUUGGAAACACCUGAUGGAACUCCAAGAUGACAUGUGUCAUGUGGAAUCUCGCUUUGGUCGAUUUGGAGACUAUUAGUUUUGGUGCAAGAUAGGUGCACAGUUUGCACCUAAUGCACUGAAAGCCCAAGUUUGGUUUUGGUAAUUAAUGACACCAAGUUGCUAAAUGCCUUAUGUUUAAGUGAUUUGAGUUAGGCAUAACAACACAUGUGAUGAAGGUGCAUGGUGGCAUGGAAAGGUGGCCACAUGAUCACAAAGGGAUGAAACAUGAAGUAAAGAUCAUGGUGACAGACGAGGAGCAAAGUUAUUAAGGUAAAGUUAUAAACAUAGGAUUUUACUUUUGCCGGUCUAAGAUGAGUAGAGAAGUAAUUGACCGAGUUUAGGAUAAAUAGUCGACUAUCAAGAGGGGAAAUCACGGUCAUCUUGAUGCAAGAUAGGUGCAUGGUUUGCAUGGAACGUAUCAUAUGCUCGAAAAUCAAUUUGGACGCACCUAAUGGAACUCCUAGAUGACAUGUGUCAUAUGGAAUCUCGCUUCGGUCCGUUUGAAGACACUGUUAGUUUUGGUGUAAGAUAGGUUCAUGGUUUGUGCCUAAUGCACCAUAGGCUCAGAAACGAUUUUGGACACACCGAUGAUACUCCUAGGUAAAGGGGCUCAAGUGUAAGCUCAGUCCGGUCUGUUAGGAGAUAGUGCUAAUCUUGAUGCAAGAUAGGUGCACGGUUUGCAUGGAAUGUACCAUAUGCUCAGAAAUCAAUUUGGAUGCACCCGUUGGAACUCCUAGAUGACGUGUGUCAUAGGAAAUCUUGCUUCGGUCCAUUUGGAGAUAGUGCUAAUUCCGGUGCAAGAUAGGUGCACGGUUUGCGCCUAAUACACCAUAGGCUAAGAAACCAUUUUGGACGCACCCGAUGGUACUCCUAGGUUAAAGGGCUCAAGUGAAAGCUCAGUUUGGUCAGUUUGGAGAUAGUGCUAAUCUUGAUGCAAGAUAGGUGUACAGUUUGCGUGGAACAUACCAUAUGCUGAGAAACUAAUUUGGACGCACCCGAUGGAACUUCUAGAUGACGUGUGUCAUAUAUAAUCUCGCUUCAGUCCAUUUGGAGAUAGUGUUAGUUUUAUGCAAGAUAGGUGCACGGUAUGCGCCUAAUGUACCAUAGGCUAAGAAACCAUUUUAGACACGCCCAAUGGUACUCCUAGGUGAAGGGGCUCAAAUGGAAGCUUAGUUUGGUCUGUUUGGAGGUAGUGCUAAUAUUGAUGAAAGAUAGGUGCAUGGUUUGCAUGGAAGAAACCAUAUGCUCGUAAAUCAAUUUGGGCUCACCCAAUGGAACUCCUAGAUGACGUGUGUCAUAUAGAAUCUCGCAUCGGUCUGUUUGGAGAGAGUGUUAGUUUCAGUGCAAGAUAGGUGCACGAUUUGUGCCUAAUACACCAUAGGCGACGAAACCACUUUGGACGCACCCGAUGGUACUCCUAGGUAAAGAGGCUCAAGUGGAAGCUUAGUUUGGUCUAUUUCGAUAUCGUGCUAAUCUUGAUCCAAGAUAGGAUGCUCGGUAUGCAUGGAACAUACCAUAUGCUCAUAAAUCAAUUUGGAUGCAACCGAUGGAACUCCUAGAUGAUGUGUGUCAUACGAAAUCUUGGUUCGGUCUAUUUGGGGAUAGUGUUAGUUUCGAUGCAAGAUAUGUGCAUGGUUUGUGCCUAAUGCACCAUAGGCUAAGAAACCAUUUUGGUCGCACCCAAUGGUACUCCUAUAUUAAAGGGCUCAAAUGGAAGCUCUGUUUGGUCUGUUUACAUAUCAUGCCAAUCUUGAUCUAAGAUAGGAUGCACAGUUUGUGUGGAACGUACCAUAUGCUUAAAAAUCAAUUUGGACACACAUAAUGGAACUUCUAGAUGACAUGUGUCAUAUGGAAUCUCGCUUCGGUCUAUUUGGAGAUAGUGUUAGUUUCGAUGCAGGAUAGGUGCACGGUUUGUGCCUAACGCACCAUAGGUUAAGAAACUAUUUUGGAUGCACCCGAUGGUACUCCUAGGUUAAAGGGCUCAAGUGGAAGCUCGGUUUGGUCUGUUCGGAGAUAGUGCUAAUCUUGAUGCAAGAUAGGUGCACAGUUUGUAUGGAGUGUACCAUAUGCUCGGAAAUCAUUUUGGACGCACCCAAUGGAACUCCUAGAUGAUGUGUGUCAUAUGGAACCUCGCUUCGAUCCAUUUUGAGAUAGUGUUAGUUUCGGUGCAAGAUAGGUGCAUGCUUUGUGCCUAAUGCACCAUAGGCUAAGAAACCAUUUUGGACACACCCAAUGGUACUCCUAGGUGAAGUGGCUGAAAUGGAAGCUCAGUUUGGUCUGUUUGGAGAUAGUGCUAAUCUUGAUGCAAGAUAGGUGCAUGGUUUGCAUGGAACAUACCAUAUGCUCAGACAUCAAUUUGGGCUCACCCGAUGGAACUCCAAGAUGACGUGUGUCAUAUAGAAUCUCACUUCGGUCUGUUUGGAGAGAGUGUUAGUUUCGGUGCAAGAUAGGUGCACGUUUGUGCCUAGGUGACGAAACCACUUUGGACACACCCAAUGGUACUCCUAGGUAGAGGGGCUCAAGUGGAAGCUUGGUUUGGUGUUUGGAGAUCGUGCUAUUCUUGAUCCAAGAUAGGAUGCACGCUUUGCAUGGAACAUACCAUAUGCUUAGAAAUUAAUUUGGACGCACCCGAUAGAACUCCUAGAUGAUGUGUGUCAUAAGAAAUCUCGCUUCGGUCUGUUUCGAGAUAGUGUUAGUUUUGAUGCAAGAUAUGUGCACGGUUUGUGCCUAAUGCACCAUAGGCUAAGAAACCAUUUUUGGUCGCACCCGAUGGUACUCCUAGUUUAAAGGGUUCCAGUGGAACCUCUAUUGGUCUGUUCGGAGAUAGUGUUAAUCUUGAUGCAAGAUAGGUGCAAAGUUUGCGUGGAAUGUACCAUAUGCUCGGAAAUCAAUUUGGACACAACUGGGAAAUCAAUUUGGACGCACCCGAUGGAACUCCUAGAUGACAUGGGUCAUAUGGAAUCUCGCUUCGUUCUGAUUGGAGACAGUGUUAGUUUUGGUGCAAGAUAGGUGCAGAGUUUGCACCUAAUGCACUAUAGUCUAAGAAACCAUUUUAGAUGCACCAAUUGGUACUCCAAGUUGAAGAGGCUUAAGUGGAAGCUUGGUUCGGUCUAUUUAGAGAUAGUGCUAAAAAUGAUGCAAGAUAGGUGCACGGUUUGCAUGGAAUGUAUCAUAUGCUCGGAAAUCAAUUUGGACGCACCCAAUGGAACUGCUAGAUGACAUGUGUCAUAUGGAAUCUCGUUUCGGUCUAUUUGAAGAUAGUGUUAGUUUGAAUGUAAGAUUGGUGCCCAGUUUGCACCUAAUGCACUAUAGUCUAAGAACCUAUUUGGUCGCACCUGUUGAUACUCCAAGGUGAAUAGGCUCAAGUGGGAGCUCAGUUCGGUCUGUUUAGAGAUAGUGCUAAUCUUGAUCCAAGAUAGGAUGCACGGUUUGCAUGGAACGUACCAUAUGCUUAGAAAUCAAUUUGGAUGCACCCGAUAGGCCUCCUAGAUGAUGUGUGUCAUAAGAAAUCUCGCUUCGGUCUGUUUGGAGAUAAUGUUAGUUUCGAUGCAAGAUAUGUGCACGGUUUGUGCCUAAUGCACCAUAGGCUAAGAAACCAUUUUUGGUCGCACCUAAUGGUACUCCUAGCUUAAAGGGCUCAAGUGGAAGCUCUGUUUGGUCUGUUCGGAGAUAGUGUUAAUAUUGAUGCAAGAUAGGUGCAUAGUUUGCGUGGAAUGUACCAUAUGCUCGGAAAUCAAUUUGGACACACCUGACGGAACUCCUAGAUGACAUGUUUCAUAUGUAAUCUUGCUUUGGUCCGUUUGGAGACUGUUAGUUUCGGUGCAAGAUAGGUGCAUGGUUUGCGCCUAAUGUACCAUGGGCUCAGAAACUAUUGUGGAAGCACCCGAUGAUACUCCUAGGUGAAGAGGCUCAAAUGGAAGCUCGGUUCGGUCGGUUUGGAAAUAGUGCUAAUCUUGAUGCAAGAUAGGUGCACGGUUUGCAUGGAAAGUAUCAUAUGCUUGUUAAUCAAUUUGGACACACCCAAUAAAACUCUUAGAUGAUGUGUGUCAUAUGGAGUCUUCAAUCUAUUUAGAGACAAUAUUAGUUUCAUUGUAAUAAAGGUGCACAACACGGUUUGCACGGAAUGAACCAUAGGCUCAAAAACCAUUUUGGACACACCUGAGGGUACUCCUAGGUCAAGAGGCUCAAGUGGGAGCUCAGUUUGGUUCGUUUAGAGAUAGUGCUAAUCUUUAUGUAACAUAGGUGCACGGUUUGCAUGGAACGUACGAUAUGCUUAAGAAAUCAAUUUGGACGCACCCAAUAGAACUCUUGGAGAUAGUGUGUCAUAUGGAAUCUCCCUUCGGUCCAUUUGGAGAUAGUGUUAGUGUUGGUGCAAGAUAGGUGUACGAUUUGAGCCUAAUGCACCAUAUGCUAAGAAACCAUUUUGGACGCACCCGAUGGUACUCCUAGGAGAAGAGGCUCAAAUGGAAGCUCGAUUUGCUCUAUUUGGGGAUAGUGCUAAUCUUGAUGCAAGAUAGGUGCACGGUUUACGUGGAAAAUACCAUAUGCUUAGAAAUCAAUUUGGAAAGUCCCAGAUGAUGUGUGUCAAAUGGGACCUCACUUUGGUUCAUUUGGACAUAGUGUUAGUUUUGGUGCAAGAUAGGUGCACGGCUUGCGCCUAAUUGACCAUAGUCUAAUAAACUAUUUUGGACCCACAUGAUGGUCCUCCUAAGUGAAGAGGCCCAAGCGGAAGCUCAGUUUGGUCUAUCUGGACAUAGUGCUAAUCUUGAUGCAAGAUAGGAGCACGGUUUGCAUGGACAUAGAUUAUGCUCGGAAAUCAAAUUGGAUGCACCCGAUGGAACUUGUAGAUGACAUGUGUGAAAGAGCAUCUAGGCCCCUAAUGAUUUCGGUGGUUAAUGACAAUGUUGAUUACUCUGACUAACGUGUGUUUUGCAGAGGCAAAGUCAUUAGUGAGGUCAGUGUAAUUGGUACUCGAUGAACAGGGACGUACAUGCCUACUUAAUAGUGGAAAUCGUUUCGGUUUUCAAAGGAUGGAUGGACAUCGUCAAGACUAGACUAGGUCUAAGUGCCAUAUGGUGAAGAAGGGCACUUACAGUAGUUUAGGACUUUGUUUUCCUUUGACCGUACUAUUAAGAGGGGCUUUGAUCUAGUAGCUUGACUUAGGCAAGGCUUUAGGUUUAGGUGUGGUGCACACUUGGUAAACCUAGCACUAGGCAGCUUAGAGAUAGUCCUUAGAUCGAGAGGAACCAACUUUGUUUUGGAACGGUCGCGUUUCGACAAAGUUAGGGUGCCUAAGUAGGCACCGAACGCUGCACCGAACGCUCUGUGAGUGCGUCCGGUGAGGUUCUUUAGCCGUUGGAGGGUUUGGUGCCUAGGGUUAGGCACCGGACGCUAGCACCGGACUCAUCGGGUAGCGUCCGGUCCAACACACAGAGAGUAUGUAAACUCUCCUCUAGCACCGGACGCUAGCACCGGACGCACUGGGUAGCGUCCGGUCUUAAACUCAGGGAGUUUGUAAAACUCCACGGAGCACCGGACGGUGCCACCGGAUGCUGGGAAGUAGCGUCCGGUGACCUGUCAGUGGCAGUACAGUUAGCCAUUGAAGUGUCACCGGACGCUCGAUGCAUAGCGUCCGGUGCAACAUCAACAGCGCCCCAUUUUUAGUGGAAAACAGUUGGCCGACCCUUGGACUUCGUGGGGUGUAUUUAUACUCCACCACCUCGUCCAUGAGAGCUCUCUUGCCCAUUUGAACAUCUGAGAAACUUGUUGUUUAGCAAGAGUGUAGAAAGAGCCUAGAGAGGAUUGAGAUUUGAGAGAUUUCUUGUGAGAAUCCUUCUCUAGUUGAAUUCCAAGAGUCAAGUGUGCAUCCACCACUCUCUAGUGCCUUGUUUGGGUCAAGUGAGAGUUCAUAGCUUGUUACUCUUGGUGAUCGCCAUCACCUAGACGGUUCAGUGGUGAUUGGAGGCACGAAGACCGCUCGGAUUUCUUGUGGCUGGCUCGUGUCAAGCUUGUGAGCGGUUUUGGGCGAUUCACCGUGACGGAGUGUCGAAGAAUCAGCGUGUAGAGAGCACUUGGUCCUUGCGCGGACCAAGGAGGAGCAAGACCCUUGCGCGGGUGCUCCAACGAGGACUAGUGGAGAGUGGCGACUCUCCGAUACCUCGGCAAAACAUCACCGAGCAUUUUCUUCCACUACUCCCUUUACUUUCUAGCAUUUACUUUGGGUUCUUACAUUCCUAAAAUUGCCAUGCUAGAAUAGGAUUGGAACUAGGUUGCAAAACUUUUAUCCGGUAGCUCUCUAGUCACACUAGGCACAAGGGGUUGAAUUGGAGCUUAUAGGUUGCUUCGUAAUCGUGCUUCAUCAAGGCGAUCUAUCCACCGCUACACCAACAUCCAUAUUGGGGAAGAUAAAUGCUCAUGAGAUGUAUAUGCACAUGAACGCCCAAGAUGGCUCCUCAUCGGCCAAGGAGAUGAAGGACUUGGCCCUCAAAGCUUCUCACAAAGGCAAAGCCAAGAAGAUUGAAGUUGAGUCAUCAACUUCAAGUGAUGAUGAUGCAUCCAUUGCCCUCUUGGUGAGAAGAACCACCAAGAUGUUGAAGAAGCUUAACAAGAAUGGAGUCAACUUUGACUCCAAGAAGUUCUUUACAAGUAGCAAGAGGAAGCCCAUCUCCGAGAUGGAUUGCUACAAUUGUGGGGAACUUGGUCAUCUUGCUCAUCAAUGUCCCAAGCCCAAGAAGGACAAGUACAAGAAGAAGAGCAAAGAGUAAGAUGAUUCAAGUGAUGAUGAGAAGAAAGGUGGCAAGAAGAAGGAAUACCACAAGAAGAAGAAUGGCAAGGCCUACAUUGUUGGUGAUUGGCUCACCGACAUUGAGAGCUCAAGUGGUGACUCCUCCAGAAAUGAGAGUGAUGAUGAGAAGGUUGCCGCCAUUGCUAUUGAUGCUUCAUCACCAUCAUCUUCACCACCAUCUACAUCCUCUACACACCUAUGCCUCAUGGCUAAAGGUGAUCGGAAGGUACAAAGUGAGGAUGAGAGUAGUGAGAGUGAUAGUGAAUAUGAAUCACCUUCUUAUGAUGAACUUGUAAAAUUGCUAAACAAAUACACAAAAGUCAUAAGAAAGACUAGAAGUGAAAGAAACUUGAACUUGAAAAUGAAUCACUACUAGCAAAGCUUAAAUCUAGUGAUGAGCUCAGAGACCAAAAUGAGAUCAUGACCACCAAACUCAAGGAGCUCAAACUCUCAUUAAAAGAGCUCAAAGAAAACAUGAUAAACUUGAGAGUGUUCAUGAUGAGCUUAUCACUAGAUAUAGAGCAAUGCAGGAAGAGCUAACAACUCUAAAAGUAAACUAUGACAACCUUGAGAUAGCUUAUGAUCUUGCAAUAAAUGAUACACAUGUUACUGUUAACCAUGUUGCUAAGCUUGAUGUAGCCACAUCUUGUCACGACUUACUUGUGGAGAGCACAAGCAAAUGUGUUGAUUGCAAGGGCAAGAAAGUGGUAGUGGCUAAGAGCUAUGAGGACACUAUCAAACUCAAGGAAGAAAUUGUCAUGCUCCAGAAAGAGUUGCAAGAGCAAGCCAAGCACAAAGCAAUUGUGAUUGAGUCACUUGAUCAAGACAAGAAGCUUGCAUAUGAGAACAAGUUGCUCAAAGAAGAGAAUCAAUAUCUCAAGCUUGGUUUGAUGUAUGACAAGCAAGAAGAAGAUGAGACAUCCAUCUUAGAUGAGUUAGCAAGCAACAAUGACCCAAUCAUCAAGAAGCUAACUCAAGAGAAUAGCAAGCUUAAGAAAGAGAAGGAACAUCUAACCAAGGGGUUAGCUAAGUUCACAAAAGGAAAGGACCUUCAAAGUGAGCUAUCAUGAACACCGUCAUGAAGAUGGACAAGAGUGGGAUUGGCUACAAGGCUCAUCAAACAAAGCUCAUCAAGUCACUAGCUACUCAUGAACAACCAAGCAAGCCAAAGCCAAAGAGAUGCUUUGAAUGUGGACAAGAAGGACACUUUGCUCAUGAGUGUGAGGCACCACUACCACCACCCUUGCCCAAGCAUGCUAGACCAUUUGCCUUCAAUACUCACUACAUUGUAAGGAAAGACAAGAGUGGCAAGGUCACGGUUAGCUUCAUGGUGCCGCCCAACAAGCAAAGGCCAAAGAAAAUUUGGGUGCCAAAGCAACUAGUAGAGAAGGUCAAGGGCCCUAAGCAAAUGUGGGUCCCUAAAUCUCAAGCUUGAUCUCUUGUGUGUAGGUGAACUACAAGAUCGGUAGAUCACAUUGGGUAAUUGAUAGUGGUUGCACUCAACAUAUGACCGGAGAUUCCCAGAUGUUCACCUCACUUGAUGAAGAUGUGGACAACCAAGAGAAGAUCACAUUUGGUGACAAUUAAAAAGGCAAGGUCAAGGUUCUAGGAAAGGUUGCAAUAUCAAAUGACAACUCCAUCACCAAUGUGCUCUAUGUGCAAUCUUUAAGUUUCAACUUGCUCUCGGUUGGACAACUUUGUGAUCUUGGUUUUGAAUGCUUAUUCAAGAAGAAGUAAGUAAUAGUGACCAAGGAGGAUGACAAUGAAAUGGUAUUCAAAGGCUUCCUACACAACAACUUAUAUGUAGUUGAUUUCUCAUCCGAUGAAGUUGAUGUCAAGACUUGCUUAUUCACCAAGACCUCACCUGGUUGGUUAUGGUAUAGAAGGUUAGCACAUGUUGGAAUGGGCACACUCAACAAGUUGAUGAAGAAAGAAUUGAUUAGAGGCUUGAAGGAUGUGACCUUUGAAAAGGACAAGCUUUGUAGUGCAUGUCAAGCCAGCAAGCAUGUUGCAAACACCCAUCCAACCAAGGCCUAUCUCUCUACUUCAAGAGUGCUUGAGCUACUCCACAUGGAUUUAUUUGGACCAACCACAUAUGCUAGUCUUGGAGGCAACAAAUAUUGCUUGGUCAUAGUUGAUGAUUAUUCCCGAUACACUAUGGUCUCAAGCAAGCUCCUAGAGCUUGGUAUGAGAGGCUUAGGGACUUCCUCAUUGAAAAGGGCUUCAAGAUUAGGAAAGUUGACACAACACUUUUCACCAAGAAAAUGAAUGGGGAAAUCUUCAUUUGCCAAGUUUAUGUUGAUGAUAUUAUUUUUGGCUCUACUAAUGAGGAUUUUUGCAAGGAAUUUGGUGAUUUGAUGUCCAAGGAGUUUGAGAUGUCCAUGAUUGGCGAGCUAUCCUUCUUCCUAGGUUUUGAAGUCAAGCAAAUGAGGGAAGGUGUCUUCAUCUCUCAAGAGAAGUACACACAAGAUCUUCUCAAUAGGUUCAAGAUGAUGGGUUGCAAGCCAAUCAAGACUCCCAUGGCAUCAAAUGGACAUCUCGACUUGGGUGAGGGAGGUAAUCCAAUUGACAAGACUCUCUAUUGCUCCAUGAUAGGAAGUCUACUCUACCUCACCGCAUCUAGGCCUGAUAUCAUGUUUAGUGUGUGUAUGUGUGCUAGAUAUCAAGCUAUGCCUAUGGAAUCUCACUAGAUUGCCGUCAAGAUAAUUCUUAGGUAUCUAAAAUACACACCUUGCCUAGGCUUGUGGUAUCCCAAAGGUGCAAGAUUCCAACUUGUAGGCUAUUCCGAUUCGGAUGAUGCCGGGUGCCGGAUUGAUAGAAAAAGCACAUCCAGAGGGUGCCAGUUCCUAGGUAGAUCACUUGUCUCUUGGAUGUCAAAGAAACAAAAUAGUGUUGCCUUGUCCACGGCCGAGGCGGAAUACAUUGCCACCGGUGCUUGUUGUGCACAAAUACUUUACAUGAAACAAACUUUGCUUGACUAUGGAGUAGUACUAGACAAAGUACCUUUGUUGUGUGACAAUGAAAGUGCCGUAAAACUUGCUAACAACCCGGUUCAACACACCCGCACAAAACACAUUGACAUCUGUCACCACUUCCUUAGGGAUCAUGUUGCUAAAGGUGACAUAUCUCUAGAGAAUGUGGGAACAGAAAAUCAAUUGGUGGAUAUCUUCACAAAACCCCUAGAUGAAGCUAGGUUUUGUUUGUUGAGAAAUGAACUUAAUGUGCUUGAUCUCUCUAACUUUACUAAAAAAUGAAGUUGUGUGUUGACCUUGUAAAUAGCUUUUGUUUUGCAUAUCAUGCAUACUAAAACUAAAAUACAAAAAAUUGUGUGUAGGGCUUGUCUAACAUGGUUAAGAUAACCCCCUUGUGUGUGUGAAAAAGCUUAACCUUGGAUCAAACUUGACAAGCAUUAGUUUACUUUCAAGUAUUGCAUUUCAUCUCAUAUCAUAUGCAUGCCUGUUAGUUGACCGUUUCUUUUUUGUUAUGCUUUGAGCAUCCGCUGUGUUCGGCCAUAGAUAGGGGGAGCAUUCAAAGCUCAUUAUGAUUUAAACCCCUAGCUUUAUGGCCACACAAUGUUCCUCGAUGCUUUCACUUGUCUAUUUUCAUAAAAACUACAAUGCCUAAGGCUAAAUAUUUGUGAAAACUUGAGAGUUUGAGAGAGGUCACUCAUACCAGUUCCAAUUGGUGUUUAUUUGAGUCUUCUUAAAGUUGGAACUUGGUUGGGUAAAAGUUAGGCGAUGUUCGAAGUUGAAAAACUGCUCAGGAGUGCACCGGACGCUGCUGUGGUGCGACCAGUGUGGUGAGCCUGCUAGAAAGCACUCACCAGACGCAGGAACAGUGUCCCUGUUGCGUCUGGUGAGGUGCGUCUGGUGCUCAGCCAGGCAUGCCCUAGGGCACCGGACGCUAAGGCCAGUGUCCGGUGGCCAUCGUCCGGUGAUCAGGUCAUCUACGGAGCUCUCUGUGUUUAAGUCUGUUGGUCACCGGACGUGUCCGGUGCCACAUAAAGAGCGUUCGGUGACCCCGCGGACAGCCCAUAUAAUCCGCGCCCUGGAGGUUUGGCUCGGCAGUUUCUUUUCUUCCCUACGACCGCGCCGUGCCCUAGACGCCGAGAAGAUCGCCGCCGCCGUUGAGUUCUUUGGUUUUUCUCCGGCGGACUCCUUCUCCCUCGUGCAGAUCUCGUCCCCGAAGCUCCCUCUUUCCUCCCUGUGUAGAGAUUCCCUCCUCUCGCGUGAGUUCAAGGGUUUGGGGUGAGUUCUCUUAACUGCGCCCUCAAGUUGUUUGAUUAUAUGUGUCAAUGGAUUAGGAUGAGGUUUUUGAUCUCGAUCUGGUCCGUCUCAUCUGUGCAGCACCUUGAGGAGUCGAUUCGUGUUCUCCAGUGGAUUUUGAUCGUAAUCUUUCGUCCGGAACGCAUCUCAUCUUUGGAUUGUAAGCCGUUCGUGCCCGUUCCUUAUCAGUUCUUGUGAUCUGUAGGGUUAUCUCAUCUCUAGUUAUUAUGUUUUCUUAUGUAUACCCUAUCUAUUCCAUCUCUUGCAGCGCAUUGAUCUCUCUUGGCAGCUUGUCAGUUGCUCAGUUGUUGGCAGUCGUUCAGAGGCAGUUCUCAUGCAAUGGCACGUUGCAAGAAUGUCAGUGGUCCGGCAACUAGCUCUGGUGGUUCUCCAGGAGGUGAUGGUGAGGAGGUGAUCCUCCCCGUCGUCUCUCAGUGGUAGAGAAGCGCAAAGGCAAGAAACUGGCCACCAAGAAGAGGAAGGCCAGUGACAGAGAGGCUGAGGUGGUCGAGGCAGUUGCAGCAGUAGCUGAGGCAGCAGAGAGGGGUGGACGCUCAGGUGCCCUGAGGAUUGGGGCUGAUCUCACGCCACGUCAGAGGCGUGCAGUUCUUGAGGUUGAGCAGUGACACGGGACUCCACUUGGCACUAUCAUGCUAGGAGGUCAGUGUGUUAGGAUUGUAGUUAGAGAGCCAGCUCAGGAGGACCCGAAGACUGAGAUAGAGGCAGAGGCCCAGGCAGAGGGCCCGACGGAGGGACAGCAGCAGGAGCAGCACCUCAGGAGGUCGAAUCACACUCGUACUCAGGCCAUCCCUAGGACUGGUAUGCAGGGUCAGUCCACCUCCUCUGCUCGCUCCACUCCGGCACGUGGUACUCCAGCUCCACGUCCAGCGCCAGUAAGGAUUCAUAAGGAUUACACCUAGGCCUCCACUCGAGAUAUCUAGGAGCUGCGUUUUGUUCCUUUACCUACUUGGUUUCCAGCUGCCAAGGAUCCACGAGCCAGUGCCAGAUUCUAUACAGUGGUUCAGGAGGAUCUGUACGACGCUUUUGUCUGUUCAACGACUCAGUUUAGGGAGCACAGGGUGCUUGACCUUGAGGUGCUUGGGAACAUGGUCGGUGCAGACAUCAGGCAGUAUUUCACUUAUCUGACCGGUCUCCUAGAGUUGCUUGCUCUACUGGGCACCUAUUGUGAGGAGUGGGUCAGAGAGUUCUAUGCCUUAGUGUGGGUUUCUCUAGAUCAUAGCUACAUCCACUACGCACUGGCAGGCACAGACUACAGAGUGACAGCUCGGAGGGCUAGAGAGGUGCUUGGUUUGACUGCUUCUCCUACCAGGAUCCACCAACUUUACUACGGGAACUUCGAGCCCCCCUCGACGUCCUCACGGUGGUGCUCUACCAUUGGUUGACUUUGUGGCUCCCUGUUUCCGUCAGCCCUUUGGAGAGGGCUCCAACAAGACAGUGGGUGACCUGACACGACCAGCCAGGAUCCUUGACUUCGUGUUGAGGAAGACACUCUUUCCCAGGUCCGGCUACAGAGACGGCUUCACCAGGAUUCAGCAGUGGUUGGUAGCCCACCUGAUCUCGAAGACACCUUUUGAUUUGUGGGAUUUGAUAGUUUCAAAGAUUGAGGACACUAUUUUAGAGAGUUUCAGGGGUCGUCGUCAGUUGUCGUACGCACACAGGAUCACAUUGCUUAUACUUUGUGCUAGGCCAGAGCCUCUUCUAGCUCACCUGUAGAGAGAGCUCACAGACUGCUUCAGAGCCCACAGAGCCAACCCAGACCGCUUCUCCAGCACGUGCAGCUUUAGUGGGUCACUCUACCUCCUCCGAGUCAGACGACGCAACUCAGUUUCAGGCCAUGUCGAGGGACUCCACUGCUCCGCCUCCACCUCUGUCAUCUUAGGUUUUUGGCACUUGAUGCCAAAGGGCGACAGAGUGAGAGUAUGACAGUUAGGGGGAGCUAGGGCUAGCUAGUGAGGGCUCUUGAUUUUUUUGUGUGCUACUCCAUGCAUUAUGUUUACGUUUAUGCAUUGCAUUUGUGUGAUAUACUCUUCUGAGGUACACUUAUGGUUGUGCUUAUGGUUGUGAGACAUGACUUUAUGCUUAUCUGUUAUAUGUUUAUGUCAUGUGUUUGGCUCAUAUUACUUUGCUUCCGCGUCUUUACUCCUAUGUACUAUGAGCCAUAUGUUUUUAUAUCCUAUUGUAUACAUCUCACAUAUUUGGAUGCAGGGUGGUAGACUUGGUUGAUAUAAGCAAGCCUAAUCCCUUUGCUCUUAUUGUAUCAUGCUUAUAAAAACCAAGUCAUUUGAAAACUUCAUUUUCCUUCAUACUUGAGGUUAUUGUCAUCAAUCACCAAAAAGGGGGAGAUUGAAAGAGCAUCUAGGCCCCUAAUGAUUUCGGUGAUUAAUGACAAUGUUGAUUACUGUGACUAACGUGUGUUUUGCAGAGGCAAAGUCAUUAGUGAGGUCAUGGUAAUAGGUACUCGAUGAACAGGGACGUACAUGCCUACUUAAUUGUGGAAAUCGUUUCGGUUUUCAAAGGAUGGAUGGACAUCGUCAAGACUAGACUAGGUCUAAGUGCCAUAUGGUGAAGAAGGGCACUUAGAGUAGUUUAGGACUUUGUUUUCCUUUGACCAUACUAUUAAGAGGGGCUUUGAUCUAGUAGCUUGACUUAGGCAAGGAUUUAGGUUUAGGUGUGGUGCACACUUGGUAAACCUAGCAUUAGGCAGCUUAGAGAUAGUCCUUAGAUCGAGAGGAACCAACUUUGUUUUGGAACGGUCGCGUUUCGAUGAAGUUAGGUUGCCUAAGUAGGCACCAAACGCUGCACCGGACGCUCUGUGAGUGCGUCCUGUGAGGUCCUUUCGCCGUUAGAGGGUUUGGUGCCUAGGGUUAGGCAUCGGACGCUAGCACCGGACUCACCGGGUAGCGUCCGGUCCCACACCCAGAGAGUUUGUAAACCGGACGCUAGCACCGGACGCACCGGGUAGCUUCCGGUCUUAAACUCAGGGAGUUUGUAAAACUACCCGGAGCAUCGGACGGUGCCAUCGGACGGUGGGAAGUAGCAUCCGGUGACCUGUCAGAGGCAGUACAGUUAGUCAUUGAAGUGUCACCGGACGCUCGGUGCAGAGCGUCCGGUGCAACAUCAACAGCAUCCGGUGACCCCAUUUUCAGUGGAAAACAGUUGGCCGACCCUUGGACUUCGUGGGGUGUAUUUAUACUCCUCCACCUCAUCCAUAAGAGCUCUCUUGCCCAUUUGAACAUCUGAGAAACUUGUUGUGGAGCAAGAGAGUAGCAAGAGCCUAGAGAGGAUUGAGAUUUGAGAGAUUUCUUGUGAGAAUCCUUCUCUAGUUGAAUUCCAAGAGUCAAGUGUGCAUCCACCACUCUCUAGUGUCUUGUUUGGGUCAAGUGAGAGUUCAUUGCUUGUUACUCUUGGUGAUCGCCAUCACCUAGAUGGUUCGGUGGUGAUUGGAGGCACGAAGACCACCCGGAGUUCUUGUGGGUGGCUCGUGUCAAGCUUUUGAGCGGUUUUGGGCGAUUCACCAUGACGAAGUGUCGAAGAAUUAGCCUGUAGAGAGCACUUAAUCCUUGCGCGGACCAAGGGGGAGCAAGACCCUUGUGCGGGUGCUCCAACAAGGACUAGUGGAGAGUGGCGACUCUCCGAUACCUCGGCAAAACAUCGCCGAGCAUUUUCUUCCACUACUCUCUUUACUUUCUAGCAUUUACUUUGAGUUCUUACAUUCCUAGAAUUGCCAUGCUAGAAUAGGAUUGGAACUAGGUUGCAAAACUUUUAUCAGGUAGCUCUCUAGUCACACUAGGCACAAGGGGUUGAAUUGGAGCUUAUAGGUUGCUUAAAUUUUUAGAGAAGCCCAAUUCACCCCCCUCUUGGGUAUCUUGAUCCUUUCAAUGUGUCAUAUGGAAUCUCACUUCGGUCCGUUUGGAGACAGUGUUAGUUUCUGUGCAAGAUAUGUGCAUGGUUUCCACGUAAUGCACCAUAGGCUAAGAACCAUUUUGGACACACCUAAUGUUACUCCUAGGUAAAGGGGCUCAAGUGGAAGCUGUCACGGAACCGUCCAAAUUAUAAGAGCACAAGUACAAAAACAAUCACCGAAGCGAUCAAUUUACCAUACUUGAGCCCAUAUAACUCCGGUAGUCCAACAAAAUCACGAGGGAUUUCAAACCAACCAACAUACAAGCCAAGAUCGUAGUGAUUCAACAUAACAAGUCACAUGUUACAUGCAUUUCACAAGUAGUUCAAAUAUAUCGGAGUUCGAUAAGGUUAUUACAACUCAGGUUUACAAAUAGCGGAAGCAAAGUAAUUUGAAACCAAUAUCACUUUUAUUUCAAAUACAUGCCAGUACCAUGGUCCAUUCCAACAAAAGCAUCAUAGAUGAGGUAAGUAGGAAGGAUCAUGCCCAUGAUCUUACUCCUUCCCUAAAGCAGGAGUCAUCCAAAUCUUGCAGUAGCUAUGAUACAUCACAACCUGCAACAAGUGGGAAUAAACCCUGAGUACGAGAAUGUACUCAGCUAGACUUACCCGUCAUAAACCAGAAAUAAAUGACACCAAGGAGUAUGCAAGGCUGAUAUAUAAGUGGAGCUUGUUGGACAACAUUUUGCAUAAAAAGCUUAAGUAUAAAUAGUUAAACCUUUCUUAUUUAGCAUCCAUUUAAUUCUCAUUAACCUAUCAACUAGAUUAGCACCUGUACUAUAGCAAUCACUUGAUUAAUAUCAAUCAAUAAUAACCAUAUCAGGUUUAUCAAGGCCGUGAUCAUCAUCAUCAUCAUAGAACCAUUAAGUUAUUUAGUGAAUGCUACAUUUGCCGCUGCUCUGUCAAGUUCUCACUAUCCGGGAGAGACGGCGAUUCGAAUCGAUUCCUAUCCAGCUGGAGGGUUAUUCCUAACACUCACCCAUGCUUCCCCCGUCGGAGAGCAAGUGGGUCACCUUUGGUACGACUCAGGAAUCGCGGCUCCGAUCAGCGCCGCACUCCCAGGGCUACCACUCUGCCAGGGAGGUCAGGAAUUUUAACUCACCUGCCUUUGGGCUUACGCCAAUGGUCCCCCGCACACCGCACUUCCUCCGGUAGUGCGCACUUUAUACUUGCCGGUCUUCCGGCCUGAGUCAUACUACUCGGCUUCGCGGUCGGAACGAGUUAUCCGGCCAACUAAGUGUUAGGCAUGCGUUCAACAUGACAAGAGGACGUACAACGAUCAGUCCUUAAUUGACACAGACGGGGAUAGAUCCACACCCAAGACCUCCAUGCCUUGUUGUUUCACUAUCAUCAUCCCGCCCGGUCUCCUUUCAUAUUAUUAACACAUGGUUCUUUUCCACGAUAGCAAAUAUAGCCAACCAUGAUCUGGAAUCCACCUAUAUCCUGCAGGUGACAGGAAAUCACCUGGCUUCUACCGAGCUAAGCAUGGCUAAGCAGAGACGUGAUCCUAACUAAUUAGGAUUCAGGUUAUAUAUAUACUGGACAAGGAAGGGUAUAUAUAUGCAGCAAGGGUUUCAUCCAACUCCUAUACUUAAUGCAACAAUACAUAUAUAACAAAUAUAUACUCAUUCACUUUCAAAAAGUAGGAGGCUUAUAAUGCUCCGGGGCUUGCCUGGAAUGUGACACCGAGGCAAAUUAGUUAGCUUGCUCCGUCUUGGUGACAUCUAAGAUCAUAACACUUGCUUAAUCAAUCCAUCUUCACGAUGAUCCACCAUCACGUCCUUCACGUGGCUCAUCUAGCGUACCUAAAUGAGAUGCAAGAUGCAAGUGCAUGAACACAUGUUCAUAGGAUCACAUAACACUAAUUGACACCACCAAGACAUGAGUCACUUAAAACCACACACAAUGUAAGUUAAUCAAGCAUUGAUGCAAUCCUAGCAAUUCUGGACAUACACGCAACAGUUGAGUAAAUAAAUCAUAACCAGAGUUCUACAGAUCCAAAAUUCAUGCAACAAGACAUUAUGGAAAUCUUAUAAAAUUGUAUACAAUUCAUAUUUAAUCAUCUUAGCAUGAUUAGUUAGUUAACUAAGUCAAACAUGCAUAUUUACAGAAUCUGGUCCAGGAAUUCCAGAGAACAAGCAUUUUGACAGAUAAACUUAAUACCCUUAUAACUCACAAACCAUUUGUCCAAAUGAUAUGAAACUCUAACAAAAGCUAGAUGAAAGAGUUAUCUACAACUUUUGUAUAGACAAGUUUCACAGCAAACAUAAUUUAUACUAUGGAAUUAGUUGCACAAUUAAAACUGCUCAUGUUGUCCCCAAACAGUAGGGUACAAAUAAAGACAGAAAACUGAUAGGCACUUCAAGCAAGCAUAACUGGAGUUACACAACUCCACAAGACAUGCAAGAAGACAUUCUGGAAAGAUUAAUAAAUUAUCUAUAUUUCAUCUUUAGACAUCAAAACAUGAUUCUCAACUUAAGCUGCUCGAAAUUAUAAAGUUCCAGAAUCUGUCCCUGACAAACAGAGAGCAGCCAUUUCUGGAAUCCAACUUUGAACAGACAUAACUCACAAACCACAAGGCCAAAUACUACCAAAUUUUAACAGCAGCCAGAUAGUUGAAUUAUCUACAACUUUGCUAUAAACAAUAUUCCCAGAAAACACCAUUUACAUAUUGUAAUCCAAACAGUUCCACAAACUGUCCAGAAACCAUCAAUUGCAAACAAUUAAUUAUUAACUUAUGUUUCAAACAUGCAUUUGAGCAAAACCAUUGUUACCAACAGUUUGCACAUAUCUAAAGAACACCAGAAAAUAUAGUGGUCAUUACCAAAUAAAUUUAUUUAAUGCAUUUCUUAAUUUAUUUGUAUAAUAAGGUGAAUUAAAGAACAUAUACAAAAAGUACACAGUAAAUACCACCAAAAUUACAGUAGCCUCUACAUACUAUAAAUAGACUUUUAUACAAAUUUUAUUGUAUUUUAACAAACAUAGCAGUCUCUAUGAAAAAGACAAAUUGCUAUUGCAAUUAACCAUGUGAGAGAAAGAUAAAUCUAAAACUCACAUUUUCUUCAAACACAUGACCAUAAUAUAUAUCAACAUGAUACAACAAUAUCACAGAAUGGUAGUGGAACAACAUUUUCCAUUUUUAUAUUUUAAUUUACAAUUAUAAACCAUUUAUCAAGAUCUAUAAAGACAUCUCUGUCCAAAAUAUGGACAUAAUCUAUCAUGUCACAUUAAACAGCCAUAACUUGAGUUUCAUAUGCCCAUAAAUUAUGGUUAUGUACUUUCUAGAAAGCUUACUAAAUUGUGAACAACUUUGUUAUUGACAUCUAGAGCUAAAUCUACAACCAACAAGGUCUUACAUAACAAACAAUGCACUCCUGUCUGGGUUUAGACAGAAACUGAAAUAGUACUUUAAACUACUAUAACUAAAGAUAUGCUUAACCAAAAAUUAUGCUAUUUAGCUUGAUGGAAAGCUUAUGAAAAGUACCACAACUCAUAUAUUUUCAUCCAGGCAUGAUUCACAACCAAACUGAGUCAAACAAUAUAAACAUGCAGAUCCACUCAGAAUAGGAGCAAAGCAACACAGGGAAUUUGUUAUUUUUAUAACUGUUAAUCUGUCAUUCCUAAAUUCAUGAAAAUUUUACCAGACAUGAAACAUCAUAUGAGAAGCUUGUCACAAUAUUUUCACAUUUAUUUGAGCAAUAAUACAGUGGUUAUGAAAAAGACAAAUAUAAUAAGCAAUUAAAACCGAACUGCAUAAAUUUAUUUUUACUGCUAAAACUGCAAACUGAACCAUGUCAUAUUAUAGAUCUACUGCAUAGAGAAUUUCAAAAGGAUUCCAAAAAGUCCACAUUUGCUAUUUUACGACUUUUCUGCGAAUUUCUAUGCAUUUACAAAGUUCAUCCAGAAAUCUGUAAAAACAAAGGAAAAAAAAGGAAAACAGAUCUUUCAACGGGGACCCUGGACUUUCCACGAAUCACGCAACCGACCACAAACACUAUUCAUAUGAGUCAUGAGUUCUGCAGAAAACCCCCUGGAUCUUGUCGAAUUUGUCCCCGUGGUCCUUGGUCGCGACGAAAACAGAGGAGCUCGCCGGAGCUCCCUGUUCCGGCCGGCUGAGGCCUCGUCGGCGGCAAUGGAGGGGUGGGGAAGCAUGAGGGGGCUUGCGCGCACUCGAGGGUGGUCUCGGAAGGUCGGGAGAGGGCCCGAGGCGGCCCGGCCACGCGCGUGCAUUGACGGUGAUGGCGGCGGUGGUGCUCCGGCGGUCUCAGCGGCGGACAGAGAUGGCGAGUGCGAGCACGAGGCAUAGAAGAUAGAGGCGGAGCUCAUGGUGGUGCUCGCUGGGAGCGAGAAGGCGCGGAACCGCGAGAAUGGGGACGGCGUCGAGCUCAGCCCGCCGGCCAUGGUGGACGCGGCGGCGUUCCCGCAGUAGGGCGCAGUAGAGCGCGAGCGAGUGCGAGUGAGGACGCCAAGGAGGAGUGGGGAGCUCGCCAUCCACUCUGGAGGGUAGGAGCACGCGUCGGAGUGGAGCAGGGAGCUGGGCACGCGGUGUCUGUGCAUGGUCGCCACGCACCAACGACGUGUCCGCCCGUUGACACAUUCCACCGAGCACGUGGCGGGUGACCGUGUGGCCGAAGUGGGAAGCCGAUUUGGGCCGGAUCUGGACCGAAUUUGGACAUGGACCAAAAACGAAGUUUUCUCUACUCUUGACACUCUCCAACUUUGAUUAAGGUGCCAUGGUCAUUAGAGUUGUAGAUUAGUAGAUAAUUUGAUGCCAACCUUUGAGUGUCAAUGAAUUGAUAAAGAUUAGCAAAACUCAAAAUUGAUGACCAAAACGAAGUCAAAAUGGUGUCAUCUUUUGGCAUGCUCUUGUACACAAUAUGUACUCCAACUUUUAUUUUGGGACCCAAGCAAGUUGUUCAUAAGAAUUAGGAGAACGCGGGAUGCCAACAUGACGAACUGAAAUUCCACACUUAGAAAUCCGAAAUGCUGGAAUUUACAGCAGAUUCGAACUUGUGCCUAUUAUUUGACAGGAUUAGAAGAUGAUUCAGACUUGGGCACUUUAACAAAGUUUGUAGCAUAAAAACUAUACUACAACUUUUAUUAAAGGACCUUGUACUGUUUAUGCCUGGUUAGUAAGAUACAAAGCUCCCAACUAGGAUACCCGAAACUGAGCACCUUGAGGACUUAGCCAAAUUUCUGGGGUUCCAAAACAGCACUGCAUUGAAUCUUGUGAGCUCAAUUUGACUAGGAUAGGUACCAAACUAGCUCUUGACCAUUAAAUAAAGUUUGUUCUACAGAAGCAAAACUAUAACUUUUAUUUAAGGUCAAUCCUCAUAACUGGUACCAAAGUCAAACUUUCACUUUGGUCAAAGUAUCAACUUGAUAAAGCUCAAACUAGGAUUUUAGAGCAAAUAAAGCAUUUUCUUGGCACAAGCUCAACAUGAACCCUUCAUGACUUUUGUUGUAGAGUUCAUCUAGAGUCAUUUGGUCAAGAUUACAAGGUUAGGUUGGUAACCUAAGGUUCCGUUCACUUGAUAAGGUCCUUCCAACAAGCAUGUAACUUAUCCUUUCAUUUGACCUUUUGAAUCCAAACUCCAUGAAACUUUUGAGUGAUCAACCUAGGUAGAGAUGGAGAUGAUACACAUGAAAGAAGCACCAUCAACAACCACAAGCUUUAUUAUGUAGGAUCAUCAAGCAUUCACUCGUCGGAAUCAUCAAAGUAUGUUUCAUACUAUCAUAUAUGAACAAUUGAUGCUUAUGCUCAUGAAAUGUGAGUGCCAAAAUGCAAGACAAACACCUGGGGUGUUACAGAAGCUUGGUUUGAUCUGUUUUGAGAUAGUGCUAAUCUUGAUGCAAGAUAGGUGCAGGUUUGCAUGGAACGUAACACAUGCUCAAAAAUCAAUUUGGACGCAGCCGAUGGAACUCCUAGAUGAUGUGUGUCAUAUGAAAUCUUGCUUCGGUCUAUUUGGAGAUAGUGUUAGUUUCGAUGCAAGAUAUGUGCACGGUUUGUGCCUAAUGCACCAUAAGCUAAGAAACCAUUUUGGUCGCACCCAAUGGUACUCCUAGGUUAAAGGGCUCAAGUGGAAGCUCUGUUUGGUCUGUUUACAGAUCGUGCCAAUCUAGAUCUAAGAUAGGAUGCACAGUUUGCGUCGAACGUACCAUAUGCUCAAAAAUAAAUUUGGACGCACAUGAUGGAACUCCUUGAUGACAUGUGUCAUAUGGAAUCUCGCUUCGAUCUAUUCGGAGAUAUUUUUAGUUUCGAUGCAACAUAGGUGCACGGUUUGUGCCUAAUGCACCAUAGGCUAAGAAAACAUUUUGGAUGCACCCAAUGGUAUUCCUAGGCUAAAAGGCUCAAGUGCAAGCUCGGUUUGGUCUGUUCGGAGAUAGUGCUUAUUUUGAUGCAAGAUAGGUGCACAGUUUGUAUGGAAUGUACCAUAUGGUCGGAAAUCAAUUUGGACGCACCCAAUGGAACUCCUAGAUGAUGUGUGUCAUAUGGAAUCUCGCUUCGGUCCAUUUUGAGAUAGUGUAAGUUUCGGUGCAAGACAGGUGCACGGUUUGCACCUAAUGCACCAUAGGCUAAGAUACCAUUUUGGACACACCAAUGGUACUCCUAGGUGAAGGGGCUCAAAUGGAAGCUCAGUUUGGUCUGUUUGGAGAUAGUGCUAAUCUUGAUGCAAGAUAGGUGCAUGGUUUGCAUGGAAUAUACCAUAUGCUCAGACAUCAAUUUGGACUCACCUGAUGGAACUCCUAGAUGACGUGUGUCAUAUAGAAUCUUGCUUCGGUCUGUUUGGAGAGAGUUUUAGUUUUGGUGCAAGAUAGGUGCAUGAUUUGUGCCUAGUGCACCAUGGGUGACGAAACCACCUUGGACACACCCAAUGGUAGUCCUAGGUAAAGGGGCUCAAGUGGAAGCUUGGUUUGCUCUGUUUGGAGAUCGUGCUAUUCUUGAUCCAAGAUAGGAAGCACGGUUUGCAUGGAACAUACCAUAUACUUAGAAAUCAAUUUGGACACACCCGAUAGAACUCCUAGAUGAUGUGUGUCAUAAGAAUACUUGCUUCGUUCUGUUUGGAGAUAGUGUUAGUUUCGAUGCAAGAUAUGUGCUCGGUUUGUGCUUAAUGCACCAUAGGCUAAGGAACCAUUUUUGGUCACACCCGAUGGUACUCCUAGUUUAAAGGGCUCAAGUGGAAGCUCUGUUUGGUCUGUUCGGAGAUAGUGUUAAUCUUGAUGCAACAUAGGUGCAUAGUUUGCGUGGAACAUACCAUAUGCUCGGAAAUCAAUUUGGACACACCCGGGAAAUCAAUUUGGACGCACCCAAUGGAACUCCUAGAUGAUGUGUGUCAUAUAGAAUCUCGCUUCGGUCCAUUUUGCGAUAGUGUUAGUUUCGGUGCAAGACAGGUGCACGGUUUGCACAUAAUGCACCAUAGGCUAAGAAAUCAUUUUGGACACACCCAAUGGUACUCCUAGGUGAAGGGGCUCAAAUGGAAGCUCAGUUUGGUCUGUUUGGAGAUAGUGCUAAUCUUAAUGCAAGAUAGGUGCAUGGUUUGCCUGGAACAUACCAUAUGCUCAUACAUCAAUUUGGACUCACCCGAUGGAACACCUAGAUGACGUGUGUCAUAUAGAAUCUUGCUUCGGUCUGUUUGGAGAGAGUGUUAGUUUUGGUGCAAGAUAGGUGCAUGAUUUGUGCCUAGUGCACCAUGGGUGACGAAACCACUUUGGACACACCUAAUGGUACUCCUAGGUAAAGGGGCUCAAGUGGAAGCUUGGUUUGGUCUAUUUGGAGAUCGUGCUAUUCUUGAUCCAAAAUAGGAUGCACGGUUUGCAUGGAACAUACCAUAUGCUUAGAAAUCAAUUUGGACGCACCCGAUAGAACUCCUAGAUGAUGUGUGUCAUAAGAAAUCUCGCUUCGUUCCGUUUAGAGAUAGUGUUAGUUUUGAUGCAAGAUAUGUGCACAGUUUGUGCCUAAUGCACCAUAGGCUAAGAAACCAUUUUUGGUCAAACCCGAUGGUACUCCUAGUUUAAAGGGCUCAAGUGGAAGCUCUGUUUGGUCUGUUCGGAGAUAGUGUUAAUCUUUAUGCAAGAUAGGUGCAUAGUUUGCGUGGAACGUACCAUAUGCUCGGAAAUAAAUUUGGACACACCCAGGAAAUCGAUUUGGAUGCACUCGAUGGAACUCCUAGAUGACAUUGGUCAUAUGGAAUCUUGCUUCGUUCUAUUUGGAGAUAGUGUUAGUUUUGGUGCAAGAUAGGUGCAUAGUUUGCACCUAAUGUACUAUAGUCUAAGAAACCAUUUUGGACGCACCAAUUGGUACUCCAAGGUGAGGAGGCUCAAGUGGAAGCCUGGUUCGGUCUGUUUAGAGAUAGUGCUAAACAUGAUGCAAGAUAGGUGCACGGUUUGCAUGGAAUGUAUCAUAUGCUCGGAAAUCAAUUUGGAUGCACCCGAUGGAACUGCUAGAUGACAUGUGUCAUAUGGAAUCUCGUUUCUGUCUAUUUGAAUAUAGUGUUAGUUUUAGUGUAAGAUAGGUGCCCAAUUUGCACCUAAUGCACUAUAGUCUAAAAAACCAUUUUGGAUGCACCUGUUGGUACUCCAAGGUGAAGAUGCUCAAGUGGGGGCUCAAUUCGGUCUGUUUAGAGAUAGUGCUAAUCUUGAUCCAAGAUAGGAUGCACAAUUUGCAUGGGACGUACCAUAUGCUUGGAAAUCAAUUUGGACGCACCUGAUGGAACUCCUAGAUGACAUUGUUGACGGUCCUUAAGUAUCAAAUAUAAUCAUCAAAUAAAUAAAGAGAAGGAUCCAAAUGCAACCAACACCCAGACUUAGGGUUUUAUCUGACAGAAUUCCACGAGUUUUGGUGUUUGUCUAUUUCUAUAGGGGGGUAUCAGGAAAUACGGAAGAAAGGCCCACACGUCGGGUUUACAUAGAGAUAUUAACGUGUCGCGUAAUUUUCUGUCAUCUAGAAGACUCCAGAAGCCACGGGAACGAACGGGAAGGCGAACGGGCCCGGGGGCAGGGCAUCCGCACUGACCUAGAGUCCAAUCAGGACUCUCUUCGAGGAUUACACUCCACCGACCUAAAGGAUCAGGGAUAACCGUUCAAUCAAUGUCGGUUUGAUCCGACGGCCCAGAUUCACUUGAAGGGACUAUAUAAGCAGACCCCCUGGCCCCUGGAGGAGGACAAGUUCAUCAUAGAGUUGAGAGGGGCCCUCGAAGGAUAACCUCUCCUCUAAAUAGACUUAGGGCUUAGCAUCCAAUGUGAGUAGAAUUAGAUCUUCUAGUUUCUACUAGAUUGAGAGAGAUAGAGUGGAGGUGUAGAUCGGAGGAAGCCCGGCCUGUCGGUGUCUACUCCGAGGUUGUACCUGCGGGAUCAAGUUCUCCUAACCCGAAGCUUGCUCCUAGGAUUCUUCAGUAAUUCGACUUCUAAAUUCUAGUAAGUUCUUGUUUUAUUGUUCUUUCGUUUAUGAGUUUACUUUAAUCUCUUCCGGUUGAGUUUAGAGUAAUAAUUGCUAGCGUAAACGUGGUGUUUGGGCUAGGGUACUCAUAGAUAUCCCCUGGCUAGCUGGACCGUGGUAGUAGCGAGGAACGUGACAUUUCCGAGUUACCUUUGCAGCCCAUAUCUUGUUAACAGGACGGGUAGGGUUUAUAGGUGCGGGUCUAACAUCCUUUGUGGUGUCUAGAUUCCAUAAGCUUCCCCAAUAGAACAGUAGAUCAUCCUUACCAAGGUUAGAAAGAGACUAUGGUUGUAGUCUUCUCUAUACAUCACUCACAUCGAGAAACAUUCUUUGUAGCCUAAAGGGUAGUAGCAAUAGAUUUGGUUAGUCAGAUGCACGCUUUCUCCCAGUGGUAAAAAUAUAAAUACGAUACUCUGGAUAACCUCCCGGGUGAAAUGCUCACCGAUAUCCGUGCGCUUACGGAUCAUUUCCUGAUGGCGUUACCAAAUAUCAACAAGCAUUUCUGGCGCCGUUGGCGGGGAGAAAGACGGUUUGCUGAGAUAACUUUUAGUCUUGCUAUUAUCUUGUAUUAUACUUUUAUACUUUUAUUCUUUUAUCUUUUUAUUUUUUCCAUCUUUGUGGAUAACUCAAAUUCCACACCUAUUAUUGAAUUUUUUGCACCUUCGGAGACCAACCAUAGACCAUGGGAGUCAACAAGUCCUUUCUUUACCUCUAAUUAUGAUCUGUGUCCGGAGUUGAUUGCAAUAGGUCAAAACCAACCCUUUUCUAUAGCCGAGGUCCUAUCUUUUAAUCAAGAAGAUAAUGAACUUUUAGCUACACCUAGGGAAUCUGUUAAUCUUUCUAUAAAUUCUGGUUUCAACCUAGCCCUACAAGACCAUGUUUUUCCUCGAUAUUUUCACAUUGGUCUUAAUCAUAUACCCUUUGGUAGAGUUUUUCUUUCUUUAUCUGUUAGUAAAGCAAGGUAUGUCUUCAUUCGUGGACAUCCUUCUUGUACUAGUCUUCAUAGAAAAAUCUUAGAGAUAGAGACGGAAUCACAUCCCAGACGAGGAAAGGAAGUUUCAAUAGCCAAUUUUCAAACAUUUUAAUCCCAUGAUUCGGCUAUCCAACCCAUCCUUGAGCUUAAUAAUUUCUACUAUGCUCUUUCUUUUUAACCUCCCGAUAAUCCUAUGAAUCUCUCUAGACAUCCCAUGCAUAAGAAGGAGGAUCGAGAAGAGCAACAUCAAUGGCUAGAGGGCAUUAAAAAUCCAUGUGCUAUCACCAUUAAAUCGAUGGAUAAAACAAACUUGAGAGACAAUCCUAGAGGAAUUUUAAGCAUACAUGAAGAAUCAUCCUUGGAGUUUGAGAAUGAGAGAAACAAAAGUGAGCAUGGAAGUUAUUUGAUAAAUACCUCACCAAGUCCUUGCUCAUAUAAAACAUCUCCCCAAUCAAUUGGUCUCUCCAACCUUACCACAUUUGAGAUCUCCAACCCCCUCUUCCUUUCUAUUUAUAAAAACUUUAAAAGGGCGGUUGUCGAUGCAUAUGUCUAUAAUAAAUAUUGCAGAUCUUGGUGAGUUGAUCUUGAUAUAGGUCAACAUUGGAGGGGAAACCACUUCGCUGACAUAAAUUGAUGGUUUCCCAAGGACAAGCUUAGUGUCCUAAAACAAGCACUGAUCAGAGUGUAACAUGAACUUCUAAUUAUUUGCAACAUUGCCUUGUGUAUGGAGCAUAUAAGGAUAAUUGUAAAAAUAUUCCUUCGGGUAUUCUUGUCACUAACCUUUCUAGGAUUGGAGCAAGAAGAUCUGAGGAAUGACAAGCACAAGGUAUGCCCAACCAAUCAUCAUGCAACAUUGAAUUAAAUUCAUCCAAUCUUGAAUUUUGCAAAAUUCAAGCUUGGGGGAAAUACCUUACAUAAAAACAUCAUUUGCCAUGUUGCUAUGUUGCUUGUCCUUACCUUUCAGACAUGCUCAAUUUGUUAAAUACUAAUCACACUACUUCAUCUCCACUUGAGUAGAUCUCUAUAAAUGCUUUCAUGCUACCUUUAUUUGCUUUAGUAUAUGUCUAGAUUUGGAGUAGUUUCAUUUAUCUCUUAAUUAAGCAUGGUGCUUAGUUUAGGAAUGAUGAUCUUACUUCCAAAGGAUUUUUAAAUUAAGCAUGGUGCUUAGGUUAAAAUGCCCUCCUAAAUCAAAUUAGACAUGGUGUCAAGGUUGAUUUUUGAGCCGAUAGUAUGCUAUAGUAGAUAUGGGAUAUUUUGUUGGACUAACCCCUGCAGGAAAACUUUCAAUAUCAACCUGGGAAGUCCUAAGAUACGAACUCAUUGGAGAUAAAGGAGACACAUGAAGUUUAACAAUUUGCACAAGAAGGACAUAGCUCAUUCAUCAUAAAGAGAUGAUCUAUGGAGGGUGCCACAAACACGAUGCACAACCGCUAAGAAAGAAAAGCUUCCACAAGGUGAUACUAUACCAUCACUCUUCAAUUAAGGUAACAUCUUAAGGUACUUGACUAUCGCUCUUAUAAGUUUCUCCUUGGUUCUGGCAUUCACAUAAAAUAAAGAGACAAACAUGUAUGAUUUAUAACUCCAAAUUAACCAACUCAACUGAUUCAGCAUGUUUAGUCCUUUAAUCUUUGUUCCUAGUAAGCUAAAGUAUUACACAUUCAAUCUUUGGAAGAUAUAAACAAAACAUAAAUAUAGAUAGAUUAUCUUUCCAUUAGGUUGAGCCAUCUGAUCUGACAAAUGUUGCACUCAUGAUCCAUCCACUUUGUCUUGCUCACUAUGCUUAAGGUUAGAGAAGAACAAAUACACUUUUGGUUCUGUUGGUGUUUUCCACCAACAGGGCCCAUGCACUUGAUCUCUGCCUUGUCUCUAUGAACAGGUACACUUCGAGCAAAACAUGGAGGAGUUUUACAACUCCAGACUCCACCAAGUGAAGGACCUAGAUCUACAAGCACAAACAAACUGAGCAUGAUAUUGCCAACACCGCACUUCGAACUGCGGGCAAACAACGAACAUGGGGACNNNNNNNNNNNNNNNNNNNNNNNNNNNNNNNNNNNNNNNNNNNNNNNNNNNNNNNNNNNNNNNNNNNNNNNNNNNNNNNNNNNNNNNNNNNNNNNNNNNNUGCAUGGAACCAUGCCACUACAACCAACAUACAUUCAGCUCAGAUAAUUUUCAGGUCAUUGACAUGGGAGAAGACGAGUAUGAUCCACCCACCAUCCUUGGAAGACCGUUCCUCAACACUAUCAGAGCCAUCAUCUAUAUUGGAACUGGAGAAGUCCACAUGCACUUCCCUCUGAAGAAGACGACGCAACCAGAGGAGGCAAAUCAUCAAGGACGGAUGGACAGACUACAAAGGAGAAGUGGUAAGGUCUGAAGACAUACAACUUGAACAGAACUGUCCUGAGGAGACCGUAGCACCGAGUCAGAUGUGGAAAGAGAAGAUAGUUAUAGCCGCCGGAGCCACCGACUACGCCAUCCAGCGAAUCCCAAGACGACUGAGAAAACGGAGAGUCCCGUUCGGAGAACCGAACGCCUUGCCAAGAGGUAAACAUGGUAGUUAUCCUUUUUCCUGUCAACUAUUUAAAAUAGUUUUCUUAGUUAAUCAGGUUCAUAUCAUCUCGAAAAGAAAAUAAAAAUGUUAAAAAAUAGUAAGCCCCAUGUGAGUAUGCGCAUGGCAUAAAACCCAUAAGUACAUUCAUUGUGGUGGCAUAAAAAUAAAAUAAAUUUAUGAUCCUACCAAAGAAGUAACAUUUAUUGAGGAGGCUCAACAUGAUAAAGGCUAGAUAUUUAUGCUAACACUUAACCAGUUCCACAAAGCUUUGUUGUCUAUUUGAGCUCCAUAGAAUUCAAGGAUCAAAGAAGACUAGCAGACGGAGGACAUCCUAAUCGCUGUCAGGGUGCUGCCGACUUUCAAAUACACCUCCGUCACCUGCUAGUUAUAUCAGAAGAAAUUACGUCAAAAUCCAGCUUGUGGAGAGCACCCCCAUUUAUCCAGCUAAGUGUUUCUACUCGUGUUUAUACUUUACUCAAAUAAUAAAAAGAUGCAUAAUCAUAAAAAACCCAAAUAAAGAUUUUGUGCUUUUAUAUAUAUCUUUGCUUAGUUUGCUAAAUAAAUAAAUAAAUAAAGUUUGCUAUGAACCCUUAUGAUAAGCUCCCACAUGGAAAUGAUGAAUAGUUGCUCUGUCAUGACUAGUUCUUAAAAUUGAAAUCUCUCUUAAGUUUAGGCAUAACUGUUAUAAUUUAAACCUGCUCUAAACCUGAACUUGUGGGAAGAGUACUUGAUCUAAAGUCUAAGCCAUUAACGGAUAUGAUAUGGGAAGGUUGAGCUACUGUUAAUCUGUUCCUAGAGAUGCUAGAAUUCUGGAGAAUUUUAUCUUUGAAAAUCUUUAAAAUAACACAUGAUGAGUUCCUGUAUGAUGAGAGUUUAAAUUCCUACCACAGCCAUACAUACAUGCUUACUAGACUUUGAGCCACACAUUUACUGUUUAUUGCUUAUGAGCAUUGAGUGUGGUCAAGCUGUGUAGACCCUUAGGAGCUUUUCAUACAGUUAAAAUCAAGAUUCACUUGCACGUUCACUCAUACAUGCUACUUCUACUCCGGAAGUACGCAUCCACAUAUAUCCACUCAUUUCCAUCUUCAGAGCCACCCAAAAGUAUUCUACUCCUAAUCCGGGAGAGAAUAGCCAAAAACAUUUCUGUUUUUCCCUAUGAAAUAAAUGCUCGAGUUAUCUUGGUUACUACCACUUGCUAUAUUAUUUAAGGAGAUGAGUGCUCUAAAAAAAGAGGAUACGAGGAAAUAAAAAGGGGCAAGUGCCCGGAACCUCGAAGGAAAUAAAAAGUGAGACGAGAGGUAAAAAUGGACAAGUGUCUGACAGAGAGAAAAAGAAAAAAGAAAAAGAAAAUAUAGAGCAUCUCAUUCUCCUCAAAAAGCUUCAAAGUGCAAGAAAGGUAUGUAUCCCAUAAAAAUAGCAAAAGUAGAAUUAGACUUUCACCAUUGUUACCACCAUCAUCACCAUACUCCAUUCAUUCGCCACACAUGCACAUUUUGAUUUGACUUAUUGACUUGUUUCUCUAGAUCCAUGGUUUGACUAUGCAAUAAAUGUCUUGUAAGUAUGUAUUAGCUGUCUCCCACCUAUGAGCUCCAGAUAUCAAAACCUUAUUAGAGUAGGGUGAGAGAGAAGGCAAUAUCACUAUGCCUUAUACCAAAAAUACCACAUACUUUGAGAGAAGGCAUAUAUCAUCACUGCCUUGGUGAGGAUCUAGAAAUUCCACAAAAGAGAGAAUUGAGAGUCAUACAAGGAAUCUCUGAGUUUUAUUAGAAAAUCUGCAAAAACUCCGGAGCUAUAGUUAAUCAAAGAACAAGAGACAUGGCGCAUAACUUGACCGUUCUAUCUUUUAACUGCUCAAGACACAAGUGACGGUUACAAGCCCCAUGGUGAAAGGUAAAAUGAGUAAGUUUUAAGUCUUAACAGUUUACUCUAACCUAGAGACGAGAUCUUACUUUUGAAGGCAUGAAACCACUGCAGAAACUCUUGAGUUCAUCCUUGCUCAGGGACGAGCAAGAUGUAAGCUUGGGGGAGUUGUUGACGGUCCUUAAGUACCAAAUUUAAUCAUCAAAUAAAUAAAGAAAAGGAUCCAAAUGCAACCAACACCCAGACUUAGGGUUUUAUCUGACAGAAUUCCACGAGUUUUGGUGUUUGUCUAUUUCUGCAUGGGGUUAUCAGGAAAUACGGAAGAAAGGCCCACACGUCGUGUUUACAUAUAGAUAUUAAUGUGCCGCGCAAUUUUCUGUCAUCUAGAAGACUCCAUAAGCCAUGGGAACGAACGGGAAGGCGAACGGGUCUGGGGGCAGGGCGCCCGCCCUGACCUAGAGUCCAAUCAGGACUCUCUUCGGGGAUUACGCUCCACUGACCUAAAGGAUCACGGAUAACCGUUCAAUCAAUGUCGGUUUGAUCCGACGGCCCAGAUUCACUUGAAGGGACUAUAUAAGCAGACCCCCUGGCCCCUGGAGGAGGACAAGUUCAUCAUAGAGUUGAGAGGAGCCCUCGAAGGAUAACCUCUCCUCUAAAUAGACUUGGGGCUUAGCAUCCAAUGUGAGUAGAAUUAGAUCUUCUAGUUUCUACUAGAUUGAGAGAGAUAGAGUGGAGGUGUAGAUCGGAGGAAGCCCGGCCUGUCGGUGUCUACUCUGAGGUUGUACCUGCGGGAUCAAGUUCUCCUAACCUGAAGCUUGCUCCUAGGAUUCUUCAGUAAUUCGACUUCUAAAUUCAAGUAAGUUCUUGUUUUAUUGUUCUUUGGUUUAUGAGUUUAUUUUAAUCUCUUCUGGUUGAGUUUAGAGUAAUCAUUGCUAGAGUAAACGUGGUGUUUGGGCUAGGGUACUCAUAGAUAUCCCCUGACUAGCUGGACCGUGGUAGUAGCGAGGAACAUGACAUUUCCGAGUUACCUUUGGAGCCCACAUCUUGUUAGCAGGACGGGUAGGGUUUAUAGGUGCGGGUCGAACAUCCUUUGUGGUGUCUAGAUUCCGUAAGCUUCCCCAAUAGAACGGUAGAUCAUCCUUACCAAGGUUAGAACGAGACUACGGUUGUAGUCUUCUCUAUACAUCGCUCACAUCGAGAAACAUUCUUUGUAGCCUAAAGGGUAGUAGCAAUAGAUUUGGUUAGUCAGAUGCACGCUUUCUACCAGUGGUAAAAAUAUAAAUACGAUACUCUAGAUAAGCUCCCGGGUGAAAUGCUCACCGAUAUCCGUGCGCUUGCGGAUCAUUUCCUAAUGGCGUUACCAAAUAUCAACAGACAUGUGUCAUAUGAAAUCUUGCUUCGCUCUGUUUGAGAUAUGUGUUAGUUUUGAUGCAAGAUAGAUGCACGGUUUGUGCCUAAUGCACCAUAUGCUAAGAAACCAUUUUGGACGCACCCAAUUGUACUCCUAGGUUAAAGGGCUCAAGUGGAAGCUCAAUUUGGUCUGUUUGGAUAUAGUGCUAAUCUUGAUGCAAGAUAGGUGUGGAGUAUGCGUGGAACAUACCAUAUGCUUGAAAAUCAAUUUGGACACACUCGAUGGAACUCCCAGAUGAUGUGUGUCAUAUGGAAUCUUGCUUCGGUCAAUUUGGAGAUAGUGUUAGUUUUUGUGCAAGAUAGAUGCACGGUUUGCGCCUAAUGCACCAUAGGCUAAGAAACCAUUUUGGACACACCCAAUGGUACUCCUAGGUGAAGGGCCUCAAAUGGAAGCUCAAUUUGGUCUAUUUGGAGAUAGUGCUAAUCUUGAUGCAAGAUAGGUGCAUGGUUUGCAUGAAACAUACCAUACGCUCAGAAAUCAAUUUGGACUCACCCAAUGGAACUCCUAGAUGACCUGUGUCAUAGAAUCUCGCUUCGGUCUGUUUGGAGAGAGUGUUAGUUUUGGUGCAAGAUAGGUGCACGAUUUGUGCCUAGUGCACCAUGGGUGAUGAAACCUCUUUGGACACACCCAAUGGUACUCCUAGGUAAAGGGGCUCAAGUCAAAGCUUGGUUUGUUCUGUUUGGAGAUCGUGCUAUUCUUGAUCGAAGAUAUUAUGCACGGUUUGCAUGGAACAUACCAUAUGCUUAGAAAUCAAUUUGGACGCACCCGAUAGAACGCCUAGAUGAUGUGUGUCAUAAGAAAUCUCGCUUCGGUCUGUUCGGAGAUAGUGUUAGUUUCGAUGCAAGAUAUGUGCACGGUUUGUGCCUAAUGCACCAUAGGCUAAGAAACCAUUUUUGGUCGCACCUGAUGGUACUCCUAGUUUAAAGGGCUCAAGUGGAAGCUCUGUUUGGUCUAUUUGGAGACAGUGUUAAUCUUGAUGCAAGAUAGGUGCAUAGUUUGCAUGGAAUGUACCAUAUGCUCGGAAAUCAAUUUGGACACACCAGAGAAAUCAAUUUGGACGAACCUGAUGGAACUCCUUUAUGACAUCUGUCAUGGAAUCUUGCUUUAGUAUGUUUGGAGAUAUUGUUAGUUCCAGGGCAAGAUAGGUGCCCAGUUUGUGCCAAAUGCACUAUAGUCUAAGAAACUAUUUUGGACGCACUUGUUGGUACUCCAAGGUGAAGAGGCUCAAGUGGAAGCUCAGUUCGAUCUGUUUAGAGAUAGUGCUAAUCUUGAUCCAAGAUAGGAUGCAUGGUUUGCAUGGAAUGUACCAUAUGCUUGGAAAUCAAUUUAGGCAUAUGUCAUAUGAAAUCUCGCUUCGGUCUAUUUGGAGAUAGUGUUAGUUUCAGUAGAAGAUAGGUGCACGGUUUGUGCCUAAUGCACCAUAGGCUAAGAAACCAUUUUGGUCGCACCCGAUGGUACUCUUAGGUUAAAGGGCUCAAGUGGAAGCUCUGCUUGAUCUGUUCAGAGAUAGUGCUAAUCUUGAUGCAAGAUAGGUGCACAGUUUGCAUGGAAUGUACCAUAUGCUCGGAAAACAAUUUGGACGCACUCGAUGGAACUCAUAGAUGACACGUGUCAUAUGAAAUCUCGCUUCAGUCUGUUUGGAGACAGUGUUAGUUUUAGUGCAAGAUAGGUGCUCAGUUUGCACCUAAUGCACUAUAGUCUAAGAAACCAUUUUGAACGUACCUGUUGGUACUCCAAGGUGAAGAGGCUCAAGUGGAAGCUUGGUUCAUUCUGUUUAGAGAUAGCACUAAACUUGAUGCAAGAUAGGUGCACGAUUUGCAUGGAACGUAUCAUAUGCUUGGAAAUCAAUUUGGACGCACCCGAGGGAACUUCUAGAUGACAUGUGUCAUACGAAAUCUCACUUCGGUCUAUUUGGAGAUAGUGUUAGUUUUGGUGCAAGAUAGGUGCACAGUUUGCACCAAAUGCACCAUAGUGGAAGCUCGGUUUGGUCUAUUCGGAGAUAAUGCUAAUCUUUAUGCAAGAUAAGUGCACAGUUUGUUUGGAACAUAACAUAUGCUUAGAAAUCAAUUUGGAUGCACUCGAUGGAACUCUUAGAUGUUGUGUGUCAUAUUGAAUCUCGCUUCGGUCCAUUUGGAGAUAGUGUUAGUUUCGGUGCAAGAUAGGUGCACGGUUUGCGCCUAAUACACCAUAGGCUAAGAAAUCAUUUUGGACACACCCAAUGGUACUCCUAGGUGAAGGGGCUCAAAUGGAAGCUCAGUUCGGUAUGUUCGGAGAUAAUGCUAAUCAUGAUGCAAGAUAGGUGCAUGGUUUGCAUGGAACCUAUCAUAUUCUCGUAAAUCAAUUUGGACUCACCCGAUGGAACUCCUAAAUGACAUGUGUCAUCUGGAAUCUCGCCUCGGUCUGUUUGGAGAUAGUGUUAGUUUUGGUGCAAGAUAGGUGCACAGUUUGCACCUAAUGCACUAUAGUCUAAGAAACCAUUUUGGACACUCCUAUUGGUACUCCAUGGUGAAGAGGCUCAAGUGGAAGCUUGGUUUGGUCUGUUUAGAGAUAGUGCUAAACUAGAUGCAAGAUAGGUGCACGGUUUGCAUAGAACGUUUCAUAUGCUCGGAAAUCAAUUUGGACGCACCCGAUGGAACUACUAGAUGACGUGUGUCAUAUAAAAUCUUGCUUCGGUCCAUUUGGAGAUAUUUCUAGUUCCGGUGCAAGAUAGGUGCACGGUCUGUUUGAAGAUAGGUGCACCAUAGGCUAAGAAACCAUUUUAGACGCACCUGAUGGUACUCCUAGGUUAAAGGGCUCAAGUGGAACCUCGGUUUGGUCUAUUUGGAGAUAGUGCUAAUCUUGAUGAAAGAUAGGUGCACAGUUUGCGUGGAACAUACCAUAUGCUCGAAAAUCAAUUUGGACAUACUCAAUGGAACUCCUAGAUGACGUGUGUUACAUGGAAUCUCGCAUCGGUCCAUUUGAAGAUAGUGCUAGUUCUGGUGCAAGAUAGGUGCACGGUUUGUGCCUAAUACAUCAUAGUCUAAGAAACCAUUUUGGACAAACCUAAUGGUACUCCUAGGCGAAGGGGAUUAAAUGGAAGCUCAGUAUGGUCUGUUUGGAGAUAUUGCUAAUCUUGAUGCAAGAUUGGUGCAAGGUUUGCAUGGAAUGUACCAUAUGCUUAGAAAUCAAUUUGGAAACACCAGAUGGAACUCCUAGAUGACAUGUGUCAUGUGGAAUCUCGUUUUGGUCUAUUUAGAUACAGUGUUAGUUUUGGUGCAAGAUAGGUGCACAGUUUGCAACUAAUGCACCAUAGUCUAAGAAACCAUUUUGGAUGCACAUGUUGGUACUCCAUGGUGAAGAGUCUCAAGUGGAAGUAGUGCUAAUCUUGAUGCAAGAUAGGUGCAUGGUUUGCAUGGAACAUAUCAUAUGCUCGGAAAUCAAUUUGGACGCACAUAAUGGAACUCCUAGAUGACAUGUGUCAUAUGGAAUCUUGGUUCGAUCCGUUUUGAGACACUGUUAGUUUUGGUGCAAGAUAGGUGCAUGGUUUGUGCCUAAUGCACCAUAGGCUAAGAAACCAUUUUGGACACAACCGAUGAUACUCCUAGGUAAAGGGGCUCAAGUGUAAGCUCGGUCCAGUCUGUUUGGAGAUAGUGCUAAUCUUGAUGCAAGAUAGGUGCACGGUUUGCGUGGAACGUACCAUAUGCUUGAAAAUCAAUUUGGAUGCACCUGAUGGAACUCCUAGAUGACGUGUGUCAUAUGAAAUCUUGCUUCAGUCCAUUUGGAGAUAGUUCUAGUUCUGGUGCAAGAUAGGUGCACGGUUUGCGCCUAAUACACCAUAGGCUAAGAAACCAUUUUGGACGCACCCGAUGGUACUCCUAGGUUAAAGGGCUCAAGUGCAAGCUCAGUUUGGUCAGUUUGGAGAUAGUGCUAAUCUUGAUGCAAGAUAGGUGCACAGCUUGCACGGAAUGUACCAUAUGCUUAGAAACUGAUUUGCACGCACACGAUGGAACUUCUAGAUGACGUGUGUCAUAUGUUAUCUUGCUCCGAUCCAUUUGGAGAUAGUCUUAGUUUAGUGCAAGAUAGGUGCACGGUUUGCGCCUAAUGCACCAUAGGCUAAGAAACCAUUUUAGACACACCCAAUGGUACUCCUAAGUGAUGGGGCUCAAAUGGAUGCUCAGUCUGUUCUAUUUGGAGAUAGUGCUAAUAUUGAUGCAAGAUAGGUGCAUGGUUUGCAGGGAAGAUACCAUAUGCUCAGAAAUCAAUUUGGGCUCACCCAAUGGAACUCCUAGAUGACGUGUGUCAUAUAGAAUCUCGCAUCGGUCUGUUUGAAUAGAGUGUUAGUUUCAGUGCUAGAUAGGUGCACGAUUUGUGCCUAAUACACCAUAGGCGACUGUGGGGGGAUAGACCCCUAUACCCUUACGGCUAGACUUGGGCCAGGAGGCUUGGCCCAUUACGAGACGAGUUCAAGACUUGAUCCGACAGCCUGGAGUUUUGCGCAAGGAAGCAAGAUGUGGAGAUCAACCAGGAUUCUAGUCGGUUAGAAUUGGAAUUGAUAUCGAACUAUCUAUGACAAUUGUAACCGACUAGGAUUAGUUUCCAGAUCUAUAACCCUGCCCUUCAGACUAUAUAAGGAGAGGCAAGGGACCCCCCUAGGACAUACGAUUCUCUCAACAGAAAUCAAUACAACCAGACGCAGGACGUAGGUAUUACGCCAACUCGGCGGCCGAACCUGGAUAAAAAGCUUGUCCGAGUCUUGCGUCACCAUCGAGUUCGUAGUUUGCGCACCGUCUACCGAUAAACUACUACCGUGGGUAUACCCCAAGGUAGACUGCCGACCAGCUUUCGUCGACAGUGGCGCGCCAGGUAGGGGGUGUGCGUACAGCUCUCCUAGACGAACAAGAUGGCCAUCAUCCCAAACUUCGUGGCCAUGGUGGGCGGCAUCACGUUCACCGUCAGCUUCAACAGCUUCACCACCACGACCGCGAAGGAGGCGUAGAUCCAAUCUGUGCCGAUCACUUCUUCACCGACGUCGGCUGCAGCUCCAACCACGCUGGCUACGACUUCGACCACACCAGCAACGUUUCCGACCACGCCGACAAAGCGUCGCACGCUUCCCUGCUACAAAGGGAGGCAGAUCGACAACACCGACCUGCUCGGGCCAUCGACCGAAUUGUUUGGCCUACUUGCUUUGACCACCAGUCGCAAUAAUAAUUGCCGCGAAGAACGACGCUACGACAACCGCGACCACCGUGAUGACAACAAGUCAAAAAGCUCAAUGGCCAGACAAUUUUGUCACCACCGACCAGACUUUCGUCCAAAGAUAAGUACAAUUCUAAUAUUUUAUUUAUUUUUGGCAUAAUAUUUUUAAUAUUAUUAUUCUUCAAAACAACUUUUUUAGCCAACUAGUUUUUUCUCCUACACGAGCUUUCCAGAGCCGGUACUGUCUCCGACUCCUCCCUACACGUGCAUGAGAUCCGCCCUCUGCGUUCCGGGUGGUCGGCAGUAGCUCUCUGGCGAGGCUGGCAAUCCCACGCGUGUCUAGGUUCCGCACCUCAUGCUGAUUGUUGGCUAGACCAGAGCUGGUACAAGCUCUAGGACGAAUUAACUACUCGUGCUAAUUUUAUAACAAAAAAUCUAAAACUUAUCUUAGUACUGAUUUUCUAUCUAAAGGUUAUUUAUACAUCAUGUACUACCAAUUCUUUAUAUUUAUUUUUUAGGAGUUUGGCCCAGUCGACAAGCUACGCUCGGAGACUCGUCGACUAUUCCCUACGCUGUGCCCGGGGACUGCUCCGACCACCGAGCACGUUUACGUUCCCAACCACGCUCGGGGACUUGUCGACUACUCUCUAUGCUGUGCUCGAAGACUGUGCCGACCACCGAGCACGUUUACGUUCCCAACCAUGCUCGGGGACUUGUCCACCGGUCCCUACGCCGUGCUCGGGGACUGUGCCGACCACCGAGCACUAUACGCUCGGGGACUGUUCGACCAGCUCACCAAUUUGAGAGUUUUGGGACUGUACCGACCACCGAGCACUAUACGCUCGGGGACUGGUCGACCAGCCCACCAAUUUGAGAAUUCGGGGACUGUACCGACCACCGAGCGUUAUAUGCUCGGGGACUGGUCGAUUAGUCUAUUCAAUUGCAGACCGACUGGUAAAUUCAACCUUUUAGACCUUGCUACAAGGCUCAUACUUCGCCUUCCAGCAAGCUCGGGGACUACAUCGGUACGAUGCAUCUGACGAUGCAUCUCAGUUUCAGAAUUUCUUUGAGGACUUUUCUUUUGACCCUGGCACCACGUGCCUACAUCACCUACUACCAGGCUCGGGGACUAAGUGGGCACACUUCACCUUGCGGUGAAUGUGCUUGCUUUUUGAAAGGCUAUACUUUUCAGAAAAGUAAAGUGGGCACACUUCACCAGGAAAGAAAUCUUUUUUAAUUUAGAGCACCAUGCAUUCUUCAAACAACCUGCUUCUUCGAUGUCAAUGUUGAUCAACUGUUUUUUGAGUUGGUCAAAAUACUGUUGCAACUGUUUGGACGACUUUCCUGCUUAUUGAAGACGUCAAGCCUCACUGAUCGAAGAAGCUCAAGACGGCGUGUUACAUCACAAUACAUGGUGCUCGGGGACUAGCUGUGGGGGGAUAGACCCCUAUACCCUUACGGCUAGACUUGGGCCAGGAGGCUUGGCCCAUUACGAGACGAGUUCAAGGCUUGAUCCGACAGCCUGGAGUUUCGCGCAAGGAAGCAAGAUGUGGAGAUCAAGCAGGAUUCUAGUCGGUUAGAAUAGGAAUUGAUAUCGAACUAUCUAUGACAAUUGUAACUGACUAGGAUUAGUUUCCAGAUCUGUAACCCUGCCCUUCAGACUAUAUAAGGAGAGGCAAGGGACCCCCCUAGGACAUACGAUUCUCUCAACACAAAUCAAUACAACCAGACGCAGGACGUAGGUAUUACGCCAGCUCGGCGGCCGAACCUGGAUAAAAAGCUUGUCCGUGUCUUGCGUCACCAUCGAGUUCGUAGUUUGCGCACCGUCUACCGAUAAACUACUACCGUGGGUAUACCCCAAGGUAGACUGCCGACCAGCUUUCGUCGACAGUGGCGCGCCAGGUAGGGGGUGUGCGUGCAACUUUUCCGGCGAACAAGAUGGUCACGAUCCCAGCUUCCGCGACCGUGCCUGAAGGCCUCACGUUCACCGUUGGCCAGAUCACGUGGACGACGUGCAGCGGCGGCCUCACGACCACGGUUUCGAAAGAGACCCAGAUCCAAUCUGAGAUCACGCCGUCUCCGACCACACACGUGGCGGCACCGAGCGCCCGACCACCGUUCCCGCUCUACAAGGGAAAGAAGAUCGACAGCUCGGACCUUCUCCAAGCGCUUGAUCGCGCUGACUCCAAGCUACUCGAAGUUUCCCAACUAGUAGACGGAGUUCUGCGUCGGCCCGACCAAGCGGCUCCAGUGGAUUUUUUCAAACCCCGCCGGCCAACUCGUGUCGCCACACACGAACGGCUGGGAACGUCUCUGACGAUAACCUCAACACCCUCAAGACGAUCCGUCGAGCUCAAGAAGGAAGAUUAUCCUUGCGGCCUGAACAACUCGGCCUCUGUUUACUCACAGCACACCCAAUCCGUUUUCAGCAAGGUGGGUUGGUCGCUGACAAGGAACGAUCGUCACUACGUCAACAUGGUGACGAUCCGAGAACUACGGGACGGCCAGGUUUCCAGCACCAACUCAAGCACCGGUUCCGUCCCCACCGAGGUUAUAAACACCGAAGACGAGGACUACGACUUGGAUUUUCCUUCACACCCUCCGGGUUUCCCCCGAUUCCCGAUAUUUCCCCCCCGGCGAGGAGAUAUUGUGUUCAAUGUCAGCGCCGACAAACCGGUCGUUGAUGGAGAAACAGAUGACCAGAGGCAACUCCGCGAACAGCGCAACGCCGAUCGCGCCCGACGACGCGCAGACGAGCAACAACAAAUGCCACCAAAUAAUCUCAACGAUGCCUUUGACAUGGUCGGGGACCAGCCAGUCUACAAAACGCCAAGCGCCAACGUGGCUGUCGCCAUGGCUAACCUAGAUCGGCUUCCUCAUACCCCCGAGUGCCAGGGAGUCCGGACCAGCAUCCGAGCACACCUGAUCGCUGCAAUGGGACAGACAGCCACUCUACUCAAGAGAGUCCAGGACGUCUCUUGUACGGAAGCCGCCUCCGACCAGACUAAUCGUAGCCGGGCCUCACCGUCUCCCAGCAGGCGUCACCGCAGCCGCUCUCCCGACAACCGUCGAAAGGACUCACGGCGCGACGAUGGUGGUCGGGACGCCGACGGUCGCCGCAAGCAGAACCGCGUACGCGGCCAAGAAGUAAACCAGCACAGGGAUCUCCGCCACAACAUCCCUCCCAAAGAUGCCCGGGACCGCAUCAACAGGCGCGCCAUAGAGAGAGCAGUCCACGAAAACCUGCGCCGCAUCGAGUACGAUGCAACGCACUGUCCUCCGGGCCUAAGACAGUUCUCCUCACACCUCCGCCAGGUCGUGUCGCCCCGCAAUUUCAAGCUCAAAAAACUUAAAAAAUACGACGGCAAGGAAAAUCCAGAGAAUUGGAUCACCCUCUAUGAAAUCGCCGUCCGAUCAGCGGCAGGGGAUGAGCACGUCAUGGCUAACUACUUCCCCGUAGUCCUUGACCAGGCUGGUCAUCAGUGGCUUCUUGGCUUGCCCGAGGACUCCUUCGACUCUUGGGAAGAGCUACGCCAGGCUUUCAUCGACAACUUCAUCGCCACAUGCGAGCAGCCUGGAAACAAGUAUGACCUUGAAAGGAUAAGGGACAGGAAGAAUGAACCUCUGCGCGAUUACAUCCGACGAUUCUCGGAUAUGCGCCUCAAAAUCCUGAAGAUUUCCCAUGACCAGGCCAUCUCAGCCUUCAUCAAGGGCCUGCGUUUCCACGAAGCGCUGAGGAACAAGCUGUUGCGUAAACGUCCAACAACGGUAGCACAGCUCCUCGCCACGGCCAAAAAUUACGCCGAUGCCGAUGACGCAGAAAAACUAAUCCGAGACGAUGCGAGAGGUCCCGACCAGCCUCCCCGGCGAGAUGACGGUCGUGGUCGCUACGACAGCAGAAACCACCGCCGCUCCGACAACCACGACCACCGAGAGGGUUGGGAUCGGCGGCGCGACAACCGCGAUGAUUUCAGAGGAAAGCGCCCUCGCGACUACGACCACGAAGUAAACACGGUCAAGCGUCCCAACGGACGACGGGACUACCAAGAAGACUACAACAAAACGUUGAAGGGACCAUGCCAACUGCACCCAAAGUCUAAUCAUACCAUGGAAGAGUGCCGUGUCCUCAAAAGCAUCUAUACACGGCGGGCCACCCAAGACGACUCCGCCAAGAAAAACAACAAGCGAGACGGGCACGACCACGAAGAUGAGGACGAGGACCAAGAUAGGGACCCCCGACACCAGUACGUCAGCCCCACCGAUGUGGUCCACUCCAUUUUCGGGGGCAAGGUCUCCAUUGAAUCCAAGCGAGAAAGAAAGCUGUUAAAGAGAGCCUGCCUCAACAUAGACAGCACGGACGGGCUGAUCGCAGACCCAAAAUUCCCCCUGUGGUCCCACAGGGAGAUCUCGUUCAGCAGGAAGGACCAGUGGGCCGCUAUCCCAGAGCCGGGUCGUUUCCCCCUGAUUCUGGACCCUUGCAUCAACAGCAUCAGAUUCGAGCGCGUGCUCGUGGACGGGGGAAGCUCCAUUGACAUCCUCUUUCGCAACAGCCUGCCCGCCCUCAAGAUAUCUCCUGCACAACUAAAACCUUACGACGCCUAAUUCUGGGGGGUUCUGCCGGGUCAAAGUUCAGUGCCUCUCGGACAGAUAACAUUGCCUGUCCAAUUCGGCACACCCGACCACUUCCGGACGGAGUUCAUCAACUUCGUGGUCGCCGAUUUCGACGGGACCUAUCACGCUAUACUGGGCCGACCAUCGCUGACAAAGUUCAUGGUAGUCCCGCACUACUCAUACUUGGUCCUUAAGAUGCCUACGGAGAAGGGUGUCCUAACCGUCAGAGGCAAUGUUUACACUGCGUAUACCUGCGAAGAGGAGAGCUUCAAGAUCACCGAAGCAAUCGACCUCUCAAUCCGCAUGGCAGAAACAGCAACUCAAGCCGCGCAGCUGCUUCCCGACCAGCUCCGAUUACCUGAGCAGGAGACAGCCAGAAAGAACUCAAAAUCCAAGGAGCACAAAGAAGUACAACUGGUCGACGGCAGCCCCGAGAAGACGGCCCUCAUCGGGGCCAACCUGGAUCCAAAAUAGGAAGACGCGCUCGUCAGGUUUCUAAGGGACAACGUAAGCAUUUUCGCAUGGAAACCCGCAGACAUGCCCGGCGUCCCAUGAAACCUGAUCGAGCACUCCUUAAAUGUGUCGAAGACCGCAAGACCAAUCAAGCAAAAGCUGCGACGGUUCACUCGUGACAAAAAGGAGGCUAUUAGGACAGAAAUCCCACGGCUUCUAGCAGCCGGAUUCAUAAAAGAAGUGUAUCACCCCGAUUGGCUCGCCAAUCCGGUUCUUGUACGCAAAAAGAAUAAUGAAUGGAGAAUGUGCGUUGAUUACACUGAUCUCAAUAAACACUGUCCUAAAGAUCCUUUUGGUCUCCCUCGCAUCGACGAGGUGGUCGACUCAACGGCCGGAUGCGAACUCCUCUCCUUUCUAGACUGCUACUCUGGUUAUCACCAGAUUUCGCUAAAAGAAGAAGAUCAGAUCAAAACAUCUUUUAUUACACCUUUCGGCGCAUACUGCUAUACGACCAUGUCUUUCGAACUCAAAAACGCCAGAGCCACUUAUCAAAGGGCCAUCCAGCAAUGCCUCCACGACGAGAUUCGUGAUGACCUCGUCGAGGCCUAUGUGGACGAUGUGGUCGUAAAAACAAGGGACGCGAGCACCCUAAUCAACAACUUAGACCGAACUUUCAAGGCACUCAAUAGGUACAAGUGGAAGCUCAACCCCAAGAAAUGCAUUUUCGGCGUUCCUUCCGGUCUACUGCUCGGCAACGUUGUCAGUCGCGACGGCAUACUACCAAACCCUUCAAAAGUAAAGGCGGUACUCGACAUGCGACCACCGAAGAACGUAAAGGAUAUCCAAAAGCUAACCGGAUGUAUGGCCGCCCUCAGUCGCUUCAACUCAAGGCUAGGAGAAAAAGGCCUCCCUUUCUUCAAACUAUUAAAAGCGUCAGAAAAAUUUUCUUGGACAGAAGAAGCCGACACCGCAUUCAACCAGCUUAAGACCUUCCUCACUUCACCACCUGUCCUUACAGCGCCUCAGCCCAAUGAAGACCUACUCCUUUACAUUGUUGCAACUGACAGGGUUGUUUCCACGGCAAUAGUGGUCGAGCGAGGUGAACCAGGUCACGCCUACAAGGUCCAGAGACCAGUUUACUUCAUAAGUGAAGUCUUAAACGAGUCCAAGGCCAGGUAUCCACAAAUACAGAAGCUCAUAUAUGCCAUUCUAAUAACGUCAAGAAAGCUGAAGCACUACUUCGACGACCAUCGAGUCCUGGUGACAACCAGUUUCCCUCUCGGGGACAUCCUGCGCAAUAAAGACGCCAAUGGCAGAAUCGUGAAAUGGGCAAUGGAAUUAUGUCCAUUUUCCCUGGAGUUCCAGAGUCGCACCACUGUCAAGUCUCAGGCCCUGGUCGAUUUCAUUGCUGAAUGGACGGAUCUCAACGAGCCUUCCGUUCCCGAUGUCUCAGACCACUGGUCAAUGUUCUUUGACGGGUCCUUGAACAUCAACGGUGCCGGCGCUGGGAUACUGUUCGUAUCACCCAACAAGGACAAACUGCGCUACGUCCUUCGGAUCCUUUUUCCGGCGUCAAACAAUGUCGCCGAAUACGAAGCAUGCUUGCAUGGCAUAAGACUAGCCGUUGAGCUGGGAGUCAAGCGCCUCUAUGUUUAUGGCGACUCCGCUUUGGUCAUCAACCAGCUCAACAAGGAGUGGGACGCAACCCACGAGAAGAUGGAUCUCUACUGCAAAGAAAUUCGCAAAUGGGAAACCAACUUCUACGGCAUAGAGUACAUCCACGUGGUCCGGGAUAAGAACCAAGCAGCAGAUGCGUUGUCGAAGUUAGGCUCAUCUCGGGCCCAGAUCCCGCGGGGUAUUUUCGUCCAGGACAUCCACGAGCCGAGCGUAGGCUCCUCCCUGGUCGACAAGCAACCCACCGAGGCAAUGCUCAUAGACGACGCCACUCCGACACCGGUGGGCGUGACUGGCGUACCCCGUUCAUCAAAUACAUAUCGGACGGGACAGGCCUUCAGGACAAAACAGAGAACGAGCGCCUCAUUCGACGAUCAAAGAACUACAUCCUGGUCGACGGCAAACUCAUGCGAAAAAACGCAAGCUCCGAAGUACUGCUCAAGUGCAUACCCCAAGAUGAUGGUAUCAAGCUCUUAGAAGACAUACAUGCUGGAUCCUGCGGCAAUCACGCCGCAUCCAGAACGCUGGUCGAAAAGGCUUUCCGAGCAGGUUUUUAUUGGCCAACCGCGGUCGGCGACGCAGAAAAACUGGUUCGACAUUGCGAAGGAUGUCAGUUUUUCGCUAAGAGGACCCACGUACCUGCCCACGAAAUUCAAACCAUCCCGUCGUCUUGGCCCUUUGCUUGCUGGGGGCUUGACAUGAUCGGGCCAUUUAAACCAGCCCCGGGCAAUUUCAAGUUUGUUUUCGUGUUAAUCGACAAGUUCUCCAAGUGGAUUGAAUACAUGCCUCUGGUCAAGGCAACCUCCGAGAAGGCUGUGGAGUUCCUCAAUCAAAUCAUACACAGAUUCGGCAUCCCGAACAGCAUAAUCACCGACCUGGGCACUCAGUUUACUGGCACCACUUUUUGGGACUUAUGCGAUGACAGAGGCAUAGUCAUAAAAUACGUGUCAGUGGCACAUCCAUGUGCCAACGGUCAAGUUGAACGUGCUAACGGAAUGAUCGUUGACGCCCUAAAGAAAAGGUUGUACACCGAAAACGACAGAGCACCCGGUCGAUGGAUGAAUGAAUUGCCGGCAGUGGUCUGGGGCCUCCGAACUCAGACCAGUCGAAACACAGGGGUGUCUCCCUACUUCAUGGUGUACGGUUCAGAGGCGGUCCUGCCGUCUGACAUACACUUCGGAUCUCCUAGAAUCGAACACUUCGACCAGGCGACCGCCGACAACGCCAGAGAACUCGAAAUCAAUUGCAUGGAGGAAAAGCGUUUAGAUUCUUGUCUCCGAACAGCAAAAUAUCUCGCGGCAGUCAGGCGAUACUACAACAGGAACGUCAAGGACCGUUCCUUUGGGGUCGGCGAUCUGGUACUUCGAUGGAAAACAAGCCAGGAGGGAAUGCACAAGCUAUCCACUCCCUGGGAAGGACCCUUCGUGGUGACCGAGGUCACACGACCUACGUCCUACAGAUUGGCAUACCCAGACGGAACACGAGUGCCUAACUCUUGGCACAUAGACAAACUGCGACGUUUCUAUCCAUAAAGUUUUAAUAACUUUCCUUUGUAAGUAUCUUAUAAUUGUUAAUAAUGAAAUUCUCUAUUUUUUGCCUAUACCUUGUCGCACACAGCACUCGGCAAAACUUCUGCAAUGGAUGCUCUUAACGACUACCAAGACGAAUACGGUGACACGUCACUCAGAUAAUCUUACAGCGCUCAAAACAACAGUCAUGACAAAAAGCAAACUUUAUUACAAACUUUACAUACAAAGUUUACAAUAAAUACCCUGACGGGCAGACACUAGUCUAUUCCUACACACUACUCUAUUGGCCUAGCUGCUCGGGCUGAUCACCCGCCUGGCCCUGCUGCCCGGACGAAGGGGUCGGGGCCACCGGCGCCUGGCUGGUCGAGACCGCAGGCGUCGACCGCCCAUCUCCCGCAACGGACGCGCCCGACAACUCCCUGGCCGACCUAUCUGAACUCGGCUGGUCUGGGGGAGUGGCUGUUCCGCACAGAUUGAUGUCGCCGAUCACUGUCGACGACAAGUCCAGCAGACUACCCCGAAGCUCGUCCGCUUCCUGUGGGCCGACCUCCUUCGGGUACCCCUUCUCCAGCCUGCUCAAGUCGACCAGGGGGUAGUGGGCGCGCACCAUGCUGAGGACGUGCGCGCCGGCAAACUCCCCGGCGUCCUUCACGAACUGCUGGAGCCAGUCCCACGCCCGUUGCGCCUUCUCGACCGGGGUCAACUGUGGCGCGCGGGGCUAGCUCUCCGGGAGCUCGGGACUGAUCAGGUCUAGGACCGGGGACACUCCUUUCCAGAUCCUGCAACAGUUGACCUUCCAGGAGUCCCGGUCCUUGACCAGAUCAUCCAGGUGCUUCUUGGCGUUCACCUUGAGCACUGCAAACGAAACAAAGCGUUAUUUUCGGCAUACCAAACAAACAAAGGGGCAACAAGCAGCAGCUAACAAGGCGGCACCCAUUACCAGAUAAUUCCCGGUCCUUUCGACCCAAUUCCUCUCCUGCUCGCCGCCCGGACUCCAGCGCACCGGCGAGCUGUUGGCUGAGCUGCUCCUUCUCUUGUCGGAGGCGCGCCACCUCCUCCUCCAAGUCUGCGUGAAUCAUAAACUGGUCAGUAAAGCAAACUACACAAGUACGCAAAGCUGCUCGGAGCGUGUGACUAACCUUCUCGCUGCCGGUACUGGUCGGCCAAGCGACGAGUGAGGUCGAGACGACGCUCCUCUUGGGCGCUCAUCUCGGCCACCUUCUCCCUGAUUUCCGACCGCAGCCGGUCUACCUCCGUGGCCAGGGCCUUGUUCUCGGCCACGACGCCUUCUAUCUGGUCAAAGCACCGUUUCCGGUACUUUGCCGUUUUCAUUGCGCCCUACAAAGCGAACAUAUAACGACCAUGCAAGACAAGGCAUAGAAUGUACAGUAGUACAAAAAGUCACUUACCUUGACUUCGUCGACGAGGCGCUUGGCCGCGCGCUCCACCCUGGCUGCCUCCUCGGUCUCGGCGAGCUCUUCAUGCCCGAUAAACUGAUCCCCGCGUUGGCGCCACACAUACACGUGUUGGCGGCCAUCACGGGGACGACCCUCAAUCUCCUCCACCUCGUCCUCGGGGGCCGCCUGAGCUUCCUCCUCCCGCGCUGUGUUGCUUCCGGUAGCGGUCCCAGGCAUUACUGGUCCCCGGACCAGACCUGGGGAGCCUGCAGUCGAAGCGGCCCCUGCUCGGGGCGGUGUGGAGACUUCACCCUCCCCGGCGGGAGGAGGGGUCGGGGCCCUUCCCUCCCUUUCCAUGGUGCUGGCUGGGGGAGGCGUCCCCAUAGCCUCCUCAACCCUGGUCGGGCUGCUCAACGUAGCCGGUGCCGCGGCCGGGGACUCCUCGGCGCUCUCAAGCAUGGCUGCAGCCGUAGGCUGCUCUGCGGUCUGUGGGGCCGCGUCUUCAGCAGCGCAAACCGGCUCACUCGUCCCCUGGCCAGCGGCAUGGCCAGGGUUGACAUCCGACGCCGCGCUAAAGGAACAAAACUACAAUAAAAAAAAACAUUGGUGAAAUACGUAAGUUAAACACUUACAGGUUUGAGCGGCAGUGGGUCGCGGUAAACCUCCUUCUCGUCCGACCAGUCGGCACCUGUGCUCCCGACUCCCCAGCGUGAGGCGCAGGUGGAUCGACGGCCACACGGUCGGCAGUGGUCGCCCCGCCGUCCGGACGGCUAGGAGGCCUCCGGACCAACGACGGAACGACCUCCUCCUCCUCCUCGUCGUCGAUCCGAACGAACCGAUGCCGCUUCGGCGCUCGGCUGCUCUCCGCCGGCAGUGUCGGCAUCGGCGACGGAUCCACAGGCAUUGGCCUUUUCCCCGACACCCUUUCCUCGGUGGUUGGGACGGGGCGGGCUUGUUCCUCCUCACUGCUGGUGUAAUGAGCACACCGAGCAGCGUCCUCCUCUAGCGGGUCUUCUCCCGCAGGAUUCUCCAUCCCCGGUGCCAGUGAUACAUACACUAUGCACCGGUCGACAUCGCCGAUCUGCAAAAAGCAACAAAGAUGAGCCAGCCACAUACGAUAUACGAAUACUAAAACAAAAUAAUCUGCAACAUACCUUUGGUGCUGGUCGGCCUAACUUGAAGGCUUGCACCCGAUCACUGCCACGGAUGAAGCCUCCGUCCGCGAAGUUGAACAGCUCGUUCAACAGCCGUUGUACCUCCGCCUUCUCCAAGAUCUCCGGUCGCAUCCUGGUCGGGUCCACGCUUCCGGCAUACUCGUACGCCGAGUGCACCCUCUUCUGGCAGGGCAUCACCCGACGACAAAUAAAGUUGCCGACCACGCCAAGCCCAUCCAGGCGCGACCAGUCGAUCAGCUUCAUUAGAUCCGCCACUUGACCGUCGAACUCCGGGCGGUCGGUCCAGCUCACCCUCUUUUCGGGAAUGUACCCCACGUCGCAGAACGUGGAGCUGCCCGGUUCCUCCCUGACGUAGAACCACUUCCUAUACCAUUCGGUCAAGGAAGUGUUCCAUGGACAGUGCAGGUAGUGAUUCUUCAUUCCAUCACGAAGGUUGAGGUAUACUCCACCUGCGACCUUGGAGCCUCCAACUGCUCCCUUCUUCCUCAAGCAGAAAAGGUAACGAAAAAGAUCGAAGUGCGGCUCUAUGCCAACAUAGGCCUCGCACAGAUGAAUAAACGUGGAGAUAAGGAGAAUUGAGUUCGGGUGCAGAUUGCAAAUCCCGAUCUCAUAAUACAAAAGAAGACCUUGGAGAAAAGGAUGAACCGGAACCCCAAAUCCCCUCUUAACGAAAUCUUCGAACACGACGAUCUCACCGGCCCGAGGGUCGGGGAAGCUUUCUCCUUCCGGCGCUCUCCAGCCGCCAAGCUCUGAGCUGUGCAGGAGUCCCAUGUCGACGAGGUCACCGAGGGAUUUGGUGGUGCUGCGGGACUUCUUCCACUCCUUGGCCAUCAGUUCGGCCCUCUUCUUGGAGUCGCUCUUCGCCAUUGGAGGUGAGAAGUGGAUUUGGGUUACGAAGAUGCAGGUGAUCGAAAGAGGCGAGAAUGGAAGGCUUGAGGGCAAUGGCAGGGUAAGGAGUACAGGCGGAACUGUCAGGCUCUUAUAACCCGCAACUCCACCUCUCCCAUUUCCUGUAUUCUCGGGAAGUGGGCGGGCCAUGCGGCGGAUGCGGCGUUUCGGUUUACAAUGAUUAUAGACAAUUAAUGCGGCGGAGUUUUCGUACCAAUUGAUGGUUUCCUUUUUCUCAAACCACGCAAAGGGCGGCUGCACAGUUGCCAGGCGCAACUUUUCAUGCGUCCAUCUGACAACCCAUCAGGAGGUCUCGUCAUGUCAACUUUAACUGAAAAGAUCGUUUCAAUAAAAAGAAGACAAAUAUGCCAGAGAGUCAACAAUCCGAAGACUGCACCGACCACCGAGCAAUUGAUGCUCGGGGACUGGUCGCCCAGUCCAUCAGCUCGGAACUUCAAAGACUGCACCGACCACCGAGCAAUUGAUGCUCGGGGACUGGUCGCCCAGUCCAUCAGCUCGGAACUUCAAAGACUGCACCGACCACCGAGCAAUUGAUGCUCGGGGACUGGUCGCCCAGUCCAUCAGCUCGGAACUUCAAAGACUACACUGACCACCGAGCACUCGAUGCUCGGGGACUGGUCGUACAGUAUAGCAACGCAGAAUACUAAGCAGCGCACUUGGCGCCUGGGUACUGGUCGUCAUACUAUUAUUUACGUUCCCAACCGCGCUUGGGGACUUGUCCAACGGAACCUACACCGUGCUCGGGGACUGUGCCGACUACCGAGCACUACAUGCUAGGGGACUGUACCGACCACCGAGCGUUAUAUGCUCAGGGAUUGGUCGAUUAAUCUAUUCAAUUGCAGUCAGACUGGUAAAUUCAACUUUUUAGACCUUGCUACAAGGCUCACACUUCGCCUUCCAGCAAGCUCGAGGACUACAUCGGUACGAUGCAUCUGGCGAUGCAUCUCAGUUUCAGAAUUUCUUUGAGGACUUUUCUUUUGACCCUGGCACCACGUGCCUACGUCACCUACUACCAGGCUCAGGGACUAAGUGGGCACACUUCACCUUGCGGUGAAUAUGCUUGCUUUUUUUUAGGUCCAUGCUUUUUAGAAAAGUAAAGUGGGCACACUUCACCAAGAAAGAAAUCUUUUUUAAUUUAGAGCACCAUGCAUUCUUCAAACAACCUGCUUCUUCGAUGUCAAUGUUGAUCAACUGUUUUUUGAGUUGGUCAAAAUACUGUUGCAACUGUUUGGACGACUUUCCUGCUUAUUGAAGACGUCAAGCCUCACUGAUCGAAGAAGCUCAAGACGGCGUGUUACAUCACAAUACAUGGUGCUCGGGGACUAGCUGUGGGGGGAUAGACCCCUAUACCCUUACGGCUAGACUUGGGCCAGGAGGCUUGGCCCAUUACGAGACGAGUUCAAGGCUUGAUCCGACAGCCUGGAGUUUCGCGCAAGGAAGCAAGAUGUGGAGAUCAAGCAGGAUUCUAGUCGGUUAGAAUAGGAAUUGAUAUCGAACUAUCUAUGACAAUUGUAACCGACUAGGAUUAGUUUCCAGAUCUGUAACCCUGCCCUUCAGACUAUAUAAGGAGAGGCAAGGGACCCCCCUAGGACAUACGAUUCUCUCAACACAAAUCAAUACAACCAGACGCAGGACGUAGGUAUUACGCCAACUCGGCGGCCGAACCUGGAUAAAAAGCUUGUCCGAGUCUUGCGUCACCAUCGAGUUCGUAGUUUGCGCACUGUCUACCGAUAAACUACUACCGUGGGUAUACCACAAGGUAGACUGCCGACCAGCUUUCGUCGACAGCGACGAAACCACUUUGGAUGCACCCGAUGGUACUCCUAGGUAAAGAGGCUCAAGUGGAAGCUUAGUUUGGUCUAUUUGGAGAUCGUGCUAAUCUUGAUCCAAGAUAGGAUGCUCGGUAUGCAUGGAACAUACCAUAUGCUCAUAAAUCAAUUUAGACGCACCCGAUGGAACUCCUAGAUGAUGUGUGUCACAUGAAAUCUUGCUUCGGUCUAUUUGGAGAUAGUGUUAGUUUCGAUGCAAGAUAUGUGCACGGUUUGUGCCUAAUGCACCAUAGGCUAAUAAACCAUUUUGGUCGCACCCUCUCCUAGGUUAAAGGGCUCAAGUGGAAGCUCUAUUUGGUCUGUUUACAUAUCGUGCCAAUCUUGAUCUAAGAUAUGAUGCACAGUUUGCGUGGAACGUACCAUAUGCUCAAAAAUCAAUUUGGACGCACAUGAUGGAACUCCUAGAUGACAAGUGUCAUAUGGAAUCUCGCUUCGGCCUUUUUGGAGAUAGUGUUAGUUUCGAUGCAAGAUAGGUGCACGGUUUGUGACUAAUGCACCAUAUGCUAAGAAACCAUUUUGGAUGCACCCGAUGGUACUCCUAGGUUAAAGGGCUCAAGUGGAAGCUCGGUUUGGUCUGUGUAACAUCCCUGAUGUUACAGAUACUAAAACUUGAUCAUGUCAUCAUAAGCAUUGCAUAGCAUAUUUGUUAAGCACAUCCUGAUGCAUUAACUUAAAAUAAGUUUAAUUUGGUUGAAUGUGUUUAGGGAAUUAAAGUGUGCUUAUGUUGUGAAGUGAUGCUUGUGUUGGUUGUCUAAUCCUUAGUGAUGGAGGGUUCCGAGGAAUUGUGGGAGAAAACCCUAAUUUUAAAUCAUAGCUUUUACCCCCUUUUGAGUAAUUUAAAAACUAUGAAAAAUUUGAGGAUGAGUUCAACAGAAAAGUUGUAGCUCUUGUCAAGAUGUACAACUUUGGUGUUUUGAAUUUUUUAAGUUUCAACACAAAAUUGAAAGUAAUUUUGAAAAUACAGAUUUCCAAAAAAUGUCCCCCUUUCCAAUUUGAAUCCCCAAUUCAAAAUCUAUUUGGAAUCUUGAAAAGUGACCAACAUGAAAGUUGUAGAGCUCAAAAAGUUGAACAACUUUCAUGUUGAGAAUUUUCCAAGUUGUUAUGGAAAAUCAAAAGUAAUUUUGGAAAUUCUGAUCUGCCCCAAUUCAAAAAUUUGAAUUUCCCCAAUUUGGUAUUUGAAAUUUAAACUGUUUUGUCAAAUUUAUCUUUUUCCACUUGGAAUCAGCUCUGGACACCAAAAUAGGUUUUGUAGCUUGUAAAAUUUUGCACAACUUUCAUUUUAACAGAUUUUGGACUUUAGUUCAAAGUUUGGGUGAAUUUUGCAAAACAACAAAAUGUUUGGAUAUGGCUCGCUACAGUACUCGAGCAGAGGGGGGAUGCACUGCCGCCGGGGCAGAGCUGCUGCGUCCAGCGCCGCCACGUGCCCAGCCACGCCGCUGCUCGCCUGCUUGCGGUCGCGGUGAAGUGGCCGAGCUCCUGGCGUCCUCAUCCACUUCUUCCCGUGGCUCGCACCUCACUGCAACCCUCUCUUCUUCCUUUCUCUCAACGCCGGUGAGCUCCCUGCGCCCGCAAAAAUUCACCUCGCCCACUCUCUUUCUAAGCCACCAGAGCACCCCAGCAGCUUUGCCAAGGUCUCAGCAACCGUUCGCGCCCCUUGAUGCAAGCUCUAACCAUCUCUAGCUCCGUCUACGUCCGUUCUUCUUCCACUCCGGCCAAAAACGCCGCCGAGGAGCACCUCAACGUGGCCAUGCCACCUCAGGCCUUAUCGCAGCAAGCCCUGGUCACCAGAGGGCGCACAUAGGCCCAACCAUGCUCCAGCACCUCUCCCUUGUCGCCAACAGACGUUCACCGGUCGGAAAUCCGGCUUCCCCGUGCGCCUCCUCUGUUUUCAAUUCGCGCCAGGGACUUCGAGUUAGAAUUCGACACAGGGUAAGGGUCUAACUGCGAAGUUCGUGACUCAGGUGAAUAGUGCCAUCAGGACCUGUUUGUAGAUGGUUUGUUAGAAAUUUGGAAAUUCAUAUCUGGAGUUUGGUAGCUCCAAUUUUGGUGAACCAAAUUUUGUUGUGCUCCUUGAGAUGUCUAGUUUUUAUUAAAAAUAUGAAACUGACCAUGUUUUGUAGUAAAAUAAUUAGUUAUGAUUUAUGCCUUUUAAUUAUGUUUAGAAAGGAGAAAUUCAUAUCUAAUUCUGUGUAGCUCCUAUGGGCCUGAAAUUUUUAUGGUGUUCUCAUGAUGCUAUGUGAGUGUUACAGUAAAUAUUUCAUGUUUAGUGUAUGAUGUAUGGUUAAGUUAUUAAUUUAUCUUGUUUAGUGCUUAUUAAAUGGAUUAUAAUUAAAAUACAAAUGCAUAAAUAUAAAAUAUGGUUCCUCUACCUUUAUAUGAGGUUUUUAUAUCAUAUUGAUACAUAAUUUAACUAUGUGUUUGUAGAAAAUGUCGAUUUUCUUAUUUAUCUUGCUGUUACAUGCUUCCUUGUGAUGGAAAUUUAUCUUUUUCAUGGAAAUUGCUAUACUUAUCCAAAUGGCAUGAAAUUUAUACAGUAUACUCUGGAGAACAUAUAUGAUCUGCUGUAGUUUUCUCAGAAUUUACUGUGUACUUUUGAUAUAUGGUUAUUACUUUGUCUAUUUAUCUAAAUAAAUUAAUAAAGACAUGAAAGGUAUUUAUUUAGGGAUGGCCAUGAUGUUUUCUAGUAUCCCUUUGAUGUAUUUCAACUGUCGGUAAGCUAGGUUUUGCCUAGAUUCAAGUUUGGAACACAAAUGAAAUGUUAUUUCUCUGUAGUUCAAUUGUUAGUGGUUUCUCGACAGUUUCUGGAGUAUUAUGAAUUGCUCUAGGUAGAUAAUGUUGGAUGUAAAACUUGUCUAUAACAAAGUUGUAUAUAAUUCAUGUAUCUACCUGGUGUUAAAUUUUGGUGGCAUUUGGCCCUAUAGGUUCUGAGUUAUGCAUGUCUAAAUUCAAGUUUCAGAAAUGGUUCCUCUCUGUCAAAUCCUGGAUCAGUUUCUGUAGUUGUGCAAUUUCGACCUACUAAACUUGUGAAUCAUGCUUUGAUGAUGAAAGAUAAAUUGUAGAAAUUUUCAUAAGCUUUCCAAAAUGUUAUGGAUCAUGACUUUUAGUGAUUUAGAACUCUGGUUAUAGAUGUUUAAAGCUUAAUGUCUGAUUCUGUCCAAUAUCUGGACAGGAUUGUUUCUGCAUGCUAUUUGGCCAUUUUAUCUAUUAAAUCAGUUCUCGAAAAUAAUAACAAGGUUGUAGAAAAUUAUCUAAGCUUUCCAGAAAGUCUAAUAUCACCUUUAUUGGAUGCUUGGAUCUCUAAUUAUGGUUGAAUGAAGUUGCAUAUAUGCUGCUGUCCUGGUUAUGUGUGCAAAUUUGAUUUAUGUUUGAAUAUGUAUAGAAAAGUUGUGCAGAUUCAAAAAUAGUGAAAAUAUUAGGAUAUGUUCUAUGCAGUAUGUAGAACACAGAAAAAAUGAUAGGUUUUAUUUUCUAGCUAUAUAUAUAUGUAUGAAAAUGGUAGCCUUUAUUUAGUAAAUAACACUUUCAUGAAUUUUAAUAAUUUAGUGAUAUGUCCAAAUAUCACCAAAAUUGGUGGUAUGCCUCUGAAUAUUAUUCCCUGGCUUCACACAAAAUUUGGUGGCAUUUGGAUGAUGUUUGAAUAAAAUAUUAUCAUACCCUUAAUUAGUAAUUUAGUAAUAAUUCCAAAAUAAUUAAGUAAUAAUUAGCUUAAUUUCUCAAAUUAGGAUUUGAGUGCCUUUGAGAUUGGGUGUUGACCUUAGGUCAUUAACCUUAAUGACCUUUGGCAUUUAAUUAUUGUUUGGUAUUAAUGCUUAAUUACUGUCCUUAAUACUUAAUUAAGAACUAAUUAAGAUAAAAAGGAUUAAUAAUUAGUUAAUUAAGGAUAAUUAUGAAUUAGGAGAAAUAUUAAUUUACUGAUGCAACCUCUUGGGUAAAAACACUAAAAUGAUAAACGACUUUAAUUACUGUUUAACCCAUCCUUGCAUCGAGAAGGAAAGUUGUACGCAACUCGGUCCUUCUUAAAUAUUUGUCAUACGCAUAUCAUGAGCAUCCAUCAUUUUGCGUAUAGUGCACGUGACCGAAGGAGCGACCGUUGAACCGAACCCCGAGGUCGGUGCUCCGUUCGAGGAAGUAGAAUCCGAGGCUUGGGAAGUCUCCGAGGGUCCCUCUUAGCUCUGCAACCAAGGCAAGCCCCGGAUGCAUUAACUCCUCCUUGAAUGUUUUAAAUCUUUUAUCACUUAUGAAUUGAAAAUGCUGCAUUAGGUAGUUGAAAAUUAGGUUAACCUACUUGCUGCAUUUACUACCUUGAUAUUUGUUAUCCUGUCCUUGACACCUAUUUUAUUUUAAAAAUUGCGUAGUGAUGCUUAGCCCUGCUACUAGAUAGGUUUUCAAACAAGAAAGUUUGAAGGGUUGUUGUGGAAUACACUUAUGGUCAAUGAUGUUUCAACUUGAGACCGGUCGGUGGACUUGCUUUAAGAAUGGAGUCUUAAAGUAGUGUCUCCAACUGUGUCGAUUAAGGACCGUUCCAUUGGUGGCCUGCUGGGUUGAGAACUUAUAGUACUAGCCACUUGCCCUCGGUAAGCCCGGUCUUGUGAUCCCUCGACGCGAACAGCUACUCGCGCACUGGGCGUGGAGCGAUGGCGAGAGUAGCGUGUACCCACCUUACGGAUCUAAGAUGAACGGGAAACAUCUAGAUCGGCUGUAGGAUGGUGGGGUACUGAGCUCUCGGGUGCCGCGAACCUGGUCAAAUUUGGGGAGAGCUCGAUUUGGGUUGAUAUAUGCAAGAUUUGGUUCUACAUAUGUCGGGUGGUUAGGAACUCCAGCUGGAUUGCUAAGCGGUUCGAAUCGUCGUUGCUCUCCGAUUGGGAGACUCAAUCCACUGACCCUCAUCGUAGUUAAAUAUGCAACUAAGUGGUAAAAUGAGAAAGGGGGAAAUGUCUCAUGAGGUUCGGAUCCCAAUUCCUGGACUCAGAGUGACAUGAAGCUAUGGCCGUUGGAUAGAUAAUACUUUGAUUAAGGACUAGGAACUUACAGACUUGUCUGCGAGAAGCAACUAGAUAGACUGUCCUCAAACUCCUCGGCCUCUUGAGGAGAGGAAUUCGUGGGUAAAACUUGAAAGUAAGGAUGCACUAUUAGUAAGCUUUUUAGCAAAACAUUUUGGCUCCUUGCUCAGCCACUCCUUGUCUACCCUAAGCCUGCAUUCCUAAGUUCUCCUAUUUUUCCGCCGGGUAAGUCUUGUUGAGUACUCCAGUACUCAGGGUUUUAUAACCCCUGUUGCAGGUGCUGACUUAUGCUGCUAAUGGAGGUCAUGUCGGUGGGCGUGACAUGAUUUAUCCACCUCUUCUACCUUAGAAGCUUCACCUAAGAUGCUUCCGCUACUCUACACACCUUUUGGAAAUUUAGUUGUUUAUAUUCCAUCAUAUGUUGUAAGUUGAGUUAUAAAUCUUCCGCACUCCGAUGUAAGUUAUUUUUGUAACAAAUGUUGUAAUGUUGUGGUAACUCCAUGUUGAUCCUGUAUGAGUUAAAAUGUGGAUGAUUCGGGGUCCUCCGAGGGCACCCGACAGACUACCCAAGUUAUAUGACUCUCAUGUGCAGUAGUCAGAGGUCUUAGGGACAAUGUCAAGUGCAUGUGGGCCAUAUAAUUAGGGUGGUUCUGCCACAGUCUGUUUAGAUAUAGUGCUAAUCUCGAUCCAAGAUAGGAUGCACAGUUUGCAUGGAACGUACCAUAUCCUCGAAAAUCAAUUUGGACGCACCCGAUGGAACUCCUAGAUGACGUGUGUCAUAUGAAAUCUGGCUUCGCUCUGUUUGGGAAUAGUGUUAGUUUCAAUGCAAGAUAGGUGCACGGUUUGUGCCUAAUGGACCAUAGGCUAAGAAACCAUUUUGGACGCACCUGAUGGUACUCCAAGGUUAAAGGGCUCAAGUGGAAGCUCGGUUUGGUCUGUUUGGAGAUAGUGCUAAUCUUGAUGAAAAAUAGGUGCAUAGUUUGCGUGGAACAUACCAUAUGCUUAAAAAUCAAUUUGGACAUACUCAAUGGAAUUCCUAGAUGACGUGUGUCAUAUGGAAUCUCGCAUCGGUCCAUUUGAAGAUAGUGCUAGUUCUGGUGCAAGAUAGGUGCACGGUUUGUGCCUAAUGCACCAUAGGCUAAGAAACCAUUUUGGACAAAUCUAAUGGUACUCCUAGGUGAAGGGGCUUAAAUGGAAGCUCAGUUUGGUCUGUUUGGAGAUAUUGCUAAUCUUGAUGCAAGAUUGGUGCAUGGUUUGCACGGAACGUACCAUAUGCACGGAACGUACCAUAUGCUCAGUAAUCAAUUUGGAAACACCUGAUGGAAGUCCUAGUUGACAUGUGUCAUGUGGAAUCUCGUUUUGGUCUAUUUGGAUACAGUGUUAGUUUUGGUGCAAGAUAGGUGCACAGUUUGCAACCAAUACACCAGAGUCUAAGAAACCAUUUUGGAUGCAUAUGUUGGUACUCCAUGGUGAAGAGGCUCAAGAGGAAGUAGUGCUAAUCUUGAUGCAAGAUAGGUGCAUGGUUUGCAUGGAACAUAUCAUAUGCUCGGAAAUCAAUUUGGACGCACCUAAUGGAACUCCUAGAUGACAUGUGUCAUAUGAAAUCUUGCUUCGGUCCGUUUUGAGACACUGUUAGUUUUGGUGCCAGAUAGUUGCAUGGUUUGUGCCUAAUGCACCAUAGGCUAAGAAACCAUUUUGGACACACCCGAUGAUACUCCUAGGUAAAGGGGCUCAAGUGUAAGCUCGGUCCAGUCUGUUUGGAGAUAGUGCUAAUCUUGAUGCAAGAUAGGUGCACGGUUUGCAUGGAACGUACCAUAUGCUCGAAAAUCAAUUUGGAUGCACCCGAUGGAACUCCUAGAUGAUGUGUGUCAUAUGAACUCUUGCUUGGGUCCAUUUGGAGAUAUUUCUAGUUUCGGUGCAAGAUAGGUGCAUGGUUUGCGCCUAAUACACCAUAGGCUAAGAAACCAUUUUGAACGCACCCGAUGGUACUCCUAAGUUAAAGGGCUCAAGUGAAAGCUCAGUUUGGUCAGUUUGGAGAUAGUGCUAAUCUUGAUGCAAGAUAGGUGCACAGUUUGCGUGGAACGUACCAUAGGCUCAGAAACUAAUUUGGACGCACCCGAUGGAACUUCUAGAUGACGUGUGUCAUAUGUAAUCUCGCUCCGGUCGAUUUGGAGAUAGUGUUAGUUUAGUGCAAGAUAGGUGCACGGUUUGCGCCUAAUGCACCAUAGUCUAAGAAACCAUUUUGGAUGCACAUGUUGGUACUCCAUGGUGAAGAUGCUCAAGUGGAAGUAGUGCUAAUUUUGAUGCAAGAUAGGUGCAUGGUUUGCAUGGAACAUAUCAUAUGCUCGAAAAUCAAUUUGGACGCACCUAAUGGAACUCCUAGAUGACAUGUGUCAUAUGGAAUCUUGGUUCGAUCCGUUUUGAGACACUGUUAGUUUUGGUGCAAGAUAGGUUCAUGGUUUGUGCAUAAUGCACCAUAGGCUAAGAAACCAUUUUGGACACACACGAUGAUACUCCUAGGUAAAGGGGCUCAAGUGUAAGCUCGGUCCAGUCUGUUUGGAGAUAGUGCUAAUCUUGAUGCAAGAUAGGAGCACGGUUUGCAUGGAACGUACCAUAUGGUCGGAAAUCAAUUUGGAUGCACCUGAUGGAACUCCUAGAUGACGUGUGUCAUAUGAAAUCUUGCUUCGGUCCAUUUGGAGAUAGUUCUAGUUCCGGUGCAAGAUAGGUGCACGGUUUGCGCCUAAUACACCAUAGGCUAAGAAACCAGUUUGGACGCACCCGAUGGUACUCCUAGGUUAAAGGGCUCAAGUGAAAGCUCAGUUUGGUCAGUUUGGAGAUAGUGCUAAUCUUGAUGCAAGUUAGGUGUACAGUUUGCGUGGAACGUACCAUAUGCUUAGAAACUGAUUUGCAUGCACACGAUGGAACUUCUAGAUGACGUGUGUCAUAUGUAUUCUCUCUCUGGUCCAUUUGGAGAUAGUGUUAGUUUAGUGCAAGAUAGGUGCACGGUUUGUGCCUAAUGCACCAUAGGCUAAGAAACCAUUUUAGACACACCCAAUGGUACUCCUAGGUGAAGGGGCUCAAAUGGAUGCUCAGUUUGUUCUGUUUGGAGAUAGUGCUAAUAUUGAUGCAAGAUAGUUGCAUGGUUUGCAUGGAAGAUACCAUAUGCUUGGAAACCAAUUUGGGCUCACCCGAUGGAACUCCUAGAUGACGUGUGUCAUAUAGAACCUCGAAUUGGUCUGUUUGGAGAGAGUGUUAGUUUCAGUGCAAGAUAGGUGCACGAUAUGUGCCUAAUACACCAUAGACGACGAAACCACUUUGGAUGCACCAGAUGGUACUCCUAGGUAAAGAGGCUCAAGUGGAAGCCUAGUUUGGUCUAUUUGGAGAUCGUGCUAAUCUUGAUCCAAGAUAGAAUGCUCGGUAUGCAUGGAACAUACCAUAUGCUCAUAAAUCAAUUUAGACGCACCCAAUGGAACUCCUAGAUGAUGCGUGUCAUAUGAAAUCUUGCUUCGGUCUAUUUGGAGAUAGUGUUAGUUUUGAUGCAAGAUAUGUGCAUGGUUUGUGUCUAAUGCACCAUAGGCUAAGAAACCAUUUUGGUCGCACCCAAUGGUACUCCUAGGUUAAAGGGCUCAAGUGGAAGCUCUAUUUGGUCUGUUUACAUAUCGUGCCAAUCUUGAUCUAAGAUAGGAUGCACAGUUUGCGUGGAACGUACCAUAUGCUCAAAAAUCAAUUUGGACGCACAUGAUGGAACUCCUAGAUGACAAAUGUCAUAUGGAAUCUCGCUUCGGUCUAUUUGGAGAUAGUGUUAGUUUCGAUGCAAGAUAGGUGCAUGGUUUGUGCCCAAUGCACCAUAUGCUAGGAAACCAUUUUGGAUGCACCCAAUGGUACUCCUAGGUUAAAGGGCUCAAGUGAAAGCUCAGUUUGGUCUGUUCGGAGAUAGUGUUAAUCUUCAUGAAAGAUAGGUGCACAGUUUGCGUGGAACGUACCAUAUGCUCGAAAAUCAAUUUGGAUAUACUCGAUGAAACUCCUAGAUGACAUGUGUCAUAUGAAAUCUCGCUUCAGUCUGUUUGGAGAUAGUGUUAGUUUUGGUGCAAGAUAGGUGCACAGUUUGUGCCUAAUGCACCAUAGGCUAAGAAACCAUUUUGGACACACCCAAUGGUACUCCUAGGUGAAGGGCCUCAAAUGGAAGCUCAAUUUGGUCUAUUUGGAGAUAGUGCUAAUCUUGAUGCAAGAUAGGUGCAUGGUUUGCAUGGAACAUACCAUAUGCUCGGAAAUCAAUUUGGAUUCACCCGAUGGAACUCCUAGAUGACGUGUGUCAUAUGGAAUCUUGCAUCGGUCUGUUUGGAGAGGGUGUUAGUUUCGGUGCAGGAUAGGUGCACGAUUUGUGCCUAGUGCACCAUGGUUGAGGAAACCACUAUGGACACACCCAAUGGUACUCCUAGGUAAAGGGGCUCAAGUGGAAGCUUGGUUUGGUAUGUUUGGAGAUCAUGCUAUUCUUGAUCCAAGAUAGGAUGCACGGUUUGUAUGGAACAUACCAUAUGCUUAGAAACCAAUUUGGACGCAUGUUGGGUAUUUUAAACGCAAACAGAAAAAUCCGCAAGCGCACGGAUACCAAUGUAGCCUUCACCCGGGAGUAUUCCAGAGUAUCGAUUUUCCACAGAGAACGUGAGUGUACUAAUUAAGAUCCAAGAUCGCCCAAGGAUAACUAUAUAAUUAUUUUUGGUGGGAAGAGAGGAAGUUUCCUGAGAGUUCUCUAGUUGAUCUAAGAAUCAAGAAUUACUUCAAGAUUAUCUAUAUCGGGACGUCAGAGCACAAACCACAGAAAGAGAUGAGAAGGGGGCUAGGAAGGUCUGACUACGGUCCUACAAACACCGACCCGAACAUGGUGGAAUACGUCGACCGUUAGGGCUGUCACUACCCUAAGGCUACCACAAGAAUCCGCAGGAUUGGGUGCAAUUCCAGGUAAUUGCAAGACUAAACACCACGUCUAAUCUAUUAAUUACUACUCUAAUGUUUCAAAGAUUAGAGCACUUGAUCCAAGCGGGAAUCCAAUAAAUAACUUGAAUGUAAAUAAAAGUAAUUAGAGAACUCAGGAGUUAUGAAUUGAAGAACCUGGAGAACGAUGAAGAACGAACCAGAUGCUGCAAAAGUACAAUGUUGAGGAAGAUCCGACAGAUCCGGCUCCUCCUCCGCUCUCCUCUUCUCUCUCCCUAUUUUCUAGAUUACAACUAGAACUAACUAGAACUAGAACUAGAGGAACUAGAACUAGAACUAGAUGAACUAGAACUAGAUCUAGAUGAACUAGAGGUAGAACUAGAAGAACUAGAGGGAUCCUCUCUACUUGGAGGAAGAAUUGAAACCCUAACUUUGAUUCUAUAGAAGAGGUAUGAUCUCCAGGGGCCAGGGGGGUCUGGUUUCAUAGUCCCUUCAAGUGAAUCUGGGCCGUUGGAUCAAACCGACAUUGAUUGAACGGUUAUUGUUGAUCCUUUAGGUCGGUGGAGCAAUAUCCCGAAAGAGAGUCCUGAUUGGACUCUGGCUGAGGGCGGGCGCCCAGGAAAGGAGGGCGGGCGCCCUGUCCCUGUGUCCUCUCGGCCUCCGCUUCGGUCCCGUGGCUUCUGGAGUCUUCUAGAUGAUAGAAAAUUGCAUGGCACGUUAAUAUCUCUAUGUAAACCUGACGUGUGGGCCUUUCUUUUAUAUUUCCUGAUAACCCCCUGCAGAAAUACACAAACACCAAAACUUGUGGAAUUCUGUCAGAUAAAACCCUAAGUCUAGGUGUUGGUUGCAUUUGGAUCCUUUUCCAUUAUUAGUUGAUGGUUAAAUAUGAGCAUUAAGGACCGUCAACAAGCUCCCCAAGCUUAACCUUUGCUCGUCCCUGAGCAAAGAUGAACUCAAGAGUUUCUGCAGUGGUUUCAUAACUUAAAGAUACACAUGCGUUUAAACAAGAUCUCAUCUCUAGUUAGAGUAAACUGUUAAGACUUAAAACUUACUCAUUUACCUUUCACCAUGGGACUUGUAACCGUCACUUCUGUCUUGAGUAGUUAAAAGAUAGAACGGUCUAGUCAAGUGCCAUGUCUCUUGUUCUUCGAUUAACUAUAGCUCUAGAGUUUUUGCAGAUUUUCAAAUAAAACUCAGAGUUUCCUUGUAUGACUCUCUCUAGUCUCUCAUUUGUGGUAUUUCUGGAUCCUUACCAAGGCAUUAAUGGUGUAUGCCUUCUCUCAAAGUAUGUGGUAUUUUUGGUAUAAGGCAUAGUGGCAUUGCCUUCUCUCUCACCCUACUCUAAUAAGGCUUUUGAUAUCUGGAGCUCAUAGGUGGGAGACAGCUAAUACAUACUUACAAGACAUUUAUUGCAUAGUCAAACCAUGGAUCUAGAAGAACAAGUCAAUAAGUCAAAUCAAGAUGUGCAUGUGUGGCGAAUGAAUGGUGUAUGGUGAUGAUGGUGAUAACAAUGGUGAAAGUCUAAUUCUACUUUUGCUCUUUUGAGGGGAUACAUACCUUUCUUGCUCUUUUGAAACUUUUUGAGGAGGGUGAGAUGCUCUGUAUUUUCUUUUUCUUUUCUCUCAGGUGGGUAUCUUGCACCCCUAAUUCUACUGUCGGACACUUGUCCAUUUUUACCUCUCGUCUCACUUUUUUUUUUUUCUUUCGAGGUUCCGGGCACUUGCCCCUUUUUAUUUCCACGUAUUCUUCUUUUUUUUCUUUUUUUUUCUUUAGAGCACUCAUCUCAUGAGAUAAUAUAGCAAGUGGUAGUAACAAGAUAACUUGAGCAUUUAUUUCACAAGAAAAAAUAGAAAUAUUUUUGGCUAUUCUCUCCCGGAUUAGGACUAGAAUAUUUUUGGGUGGUUUUGGAGAUGGAAAUGGGUAUAUGUGGAUGGUACUUCCAGAGUAGAAGUAGCAUGUAUGAGUGAACGUGCAAGUGAAUCUUGACUUAACCACAUGACAAGCUCCUAAGGGUCUACACAGCUUGACCACACUCAAUGCUCAUAAGCAGUAAAGUAAGUGUGUGGCUCAAAGUCUAGCAAGCAUGUAUAUAUGGCUGUGGUAGCAAUUUAAACUCUCAUCAUACAGGAACUCAUCAUGUAAUAUUUUAAAGAUUUUCAAAGAUAAAAUUCUCCAGAAUUCUAGCAUCUCUAGGAAGAGAUAAACAGCAGCUCAACCUUCCCAUAUCAUAUCCGUUAACGACUUAGACUUCAGAUCAAGUACUCUUCCCACAAGUUUAGGUUCAGAGCAAAUCUUAAUUUAUAACCGUCAUGCCUAAACUUGAGAGAGAUUUCAAUUUUUAGAACUAAUCAUGGCAGAGCAACUAUUCAUUAUUUCUAUGUGAGAGCUUAUCAUGAGGGUUCAUAGCAAACCUUAUUUAUUUAUUUAUUUAGCAAACUAAGCAAAGAUAUAUAUAAGCACAAAAUCUUUAUUUGGGUUUUUAUGAUUAUGAAUCUUUUUAUUAUUUGAGUAAAGUAUAAACGUGAGUAGAAACACUUAGCUGGAUAAAUGGGGGUGCUCUCCCCCAAGCUUGAUUUUGACGAAGUUUCUUCUGAUGUAGCUAGCAGGUGGCGGAGGUGUAUUUGAAUGUCAGCAGCAUUCUGACAGUGAUUAGGAUGUCCUCCGUCAGCUAGUCUUCUUUGAUCCUUGAAUUCUGUGGAGCUCAAAUAGACAACAAAGCUUUGUGGAACUGGUUAAGUGUUAGCAUAAAUACCUAGCCUUUAUUAUGUUGAGCCUCCUCAAUAAAUGUUACUCUCUUUGGUAGGAUCAUAAAUCUAUUUUUAUAAUUUUAUUUUUAUAGGACAGAAAUAUAUUUAUUUUAUUUUUAUGCCACCACAGUGAAUGUACUUAUGGGUUUUAUGCCAUGAGCAUACUCACAUGGGGCUUAUUUAACAUUUUUAUUUUCUUUUCAAGAUGAUAUGAACCUUAUUAACUAAGCAAACUAUUUUAAAAUAAUUGAAAGGAAAAAGAUAACUACCAAAUUUACCUCUUGGCAAGGCGUUCGGUGCUUUUAAGUCCUCCGAACGGGACUCUCCGUUUUCUCAGUCGUCCUGGGAUUCGCUGGGUGGCGUAGUCAGUGGUUCCGGCGGCACUUCUUCUUCGUGUAAAACUAUCUUCUUUCUCCACACCUAACUCGGUGCUACGGUCUCCUGAGGACAGUUCUGUUCAAGCUGUAUGUCUUUAGACAUUACUAUUUCUUCUUCAUAGUCUGCUCAUCCGUCCUUGAUGAUUUUGCCUCCUCUGGUUGCGGUUGCAUCGUCGUCUUCUUGUCCUGACCUGCUUAGAGUCUUUAACUAUAUAGUUAGGGUCAGUAAAAUAGCGGCGUACCUUCUCAGAGGGGAAGUUCAUGUGGACUUCUCCGGUUCCAAUGUAGAUGAUUAUUUUAACGGUGCUGAGGAACUGUCUCCCAAGGAUGAUGGGUGGAUCGUGCUCAUCUUUUCCCAUGUCAAUAACCAUUCAGAAUGUCUGAUCUGCCAUCUGAAGCUGAAUGUAUGUCGGUUUU
Molecule: long non-coding RNA, 86662 nt
Filed under: Sorghum bicolor (sorghum)
Lineage: Eukaryota; Viridiplantae; Streptophyta; Magnoliopsida; Poales; Poaceae
Description: long non-coding RNA (SBIC_LNC017616)
Source: RNAcentral